Molecule: long non-coding RNA, 57469 nt
Filed under: Coffea arabica (coffee)
Lineage: Eukaryota; Viridiplantae; Streptophyta; Magnoliopsida; Gentianales; Rubiaceae
Description: long non-coding RNA (CARA_LNC002089)
Source: RNAcentral
AUCAAUCCUAGAUAAGUAUGAAGAAAAGGUAAGGUUUCAACAUGUCAAAGCCAAAGAAGAAAUGGAAUUAGCCAAGAGUUCAAAUUUCUUCAAGAAAAUGGUACGUGUAUGUUUGACAAAGAUGUUGAAUGAUUGCUUCUAAACAGUUCAAACCUGCUGGUCUACAAAAUGAAUAAAGAUCUCAAUUAAGGUAUGUCAAAAUGUCUAAAAGAGAAAGAUGUUUGAAAACCUUAAUAGCUACAAACUCUUGUAUUGGAUAGGAAUUAUGAAUCCACAACUGCUGCUUCUGAUAUUGUAAAAUUUACCAUUUUGAGUUACAGUAAGGUUCAUGAUUGCUCUUUUCGACUUUCGGAGUAUCCUUGUAGCUGAUCUUCCUGUUCUGCCCACUUAUUUGGACGCACAUAUUGCCCUGUCUAUCUUCUUUGUGUAAAAUAGAGUUUACUUUCUUACAAUCAGUUCUUUUAAGUUCUAUAUAUUUCCAUUUACCCAACUUUCUUAGUAAAUUUCACGAGACAUUGAGUGCAAGAAUGGUUUCUGUUAUACAGUCCGUAUAAAGCAAAGAAAUAUGAAGGUUUAUAUAAAUUUAGCUAUUUCAAUACUUUCAUGUAUUUUAUAUGACUUGGCAUCUGGGAGUUAACUUAGAUCUUGAGGAAUUGGUUACAUCUUCCAAACAAUAAAGUUCAGGAUUUUUUUUCUCAUUUAACUGUUGUAUUAUUGCUAGGAUUACACCCCAAAACAUUUUCCUUUUAUGUAUCCCUUUGAAGAAGUUUCCUUCAACUCUUUUCGAGUUGAAUAUGACAAAGAGCGGCCAGAGAACAAGGAGAAAUUUCUAAUUUUGUGAUGAAUUUUAAAAAAAUUCUACAAAAGGGGUGAUUUUGGCAAUGGAUUCCGUCCGGGGGUCUUCGCAUUCGUGAAAUGCGAGGUUAAAGUAGAGCUCGCAGAGCUCGCAUUCGCGAAAUGCGAGCUCUACUUAUUGAGUUCGCAUUUCGCAAAUGCGAGCUCUAAUUUAAAUUUUUUUCCUUUUUUUUUUUUGGGAGCUAGAGAAUUUUUUCCAGAAAAUAGUAAGAGCUAAAUGCGAGCUCCUAAAUAUUUUUUUUUUAAUUUUGCAAAUAGCUCGCAUUUGAUAAAUUUGACCUCCAAAAAUUGUAUUUUACUUUUUUGUUAGAUUUCACAUUUAUAAGUAUAAGUUUCAGAAAAUUAAAUUCAAACUUGUUAGGAAAAAAUUUAAAAUGAAAUUUACGAGCUCCAUAAAAAAUAUAAAAUUAAAUGUAAAUAUUAUUUGUUUUGUAGAAUUUGCCUUUACUAAAAUGCUAUCGGUAGUAAAAUCUUAUUUUAAAAUCUCUACUAAAAUUUCUACUAAAAUCUUAUAUUUCGGAGAAAUGUUAGAGAAAUUUUAUUUAAAAAACUGUAAUUAGCAGAGGAAUAAAUUUUUUUUAUUUUAAAACUUGCACGUGCCUAAAGUCAUCAAAUAUGUUCUCUAAAAAAAAAUCAUAUUCACAAUAAUCUUUUUAGUAUAAUUUACUAUACAUGCAUAAUUCUUUUAUAAUAAAAAAAUUGGUAAUUGUACGGUUGGAAAUACGUUAUUUUAUUAUAAUACAUUUAAAUGGUGGAAAAAGUACACAUGCAUAGUUCCUUCUAUUUCAUAGAUCAAUGUAAAAAUAGAAUGAAAUUGUUAACAUGUAAGGUGUUGACUAUUUUUUAUGAAUAAAAUGUUAAGUUUUUUUCCUUUUUUAUCAAAUAAAUUAUUUUGAUCAAAUUCUAAUUUUCCUUUGUUAUUAACUAAUCGUAUUUAUUUGUUGACACCGAUGAAUAUUAGUUAUAAGAAUCUAAUAGUUAAUAGUCAUUAAUAUAUGUUAUAAUUUCAACUGUAAUUUUAGAAAUUUCAUAACGCGAUGUUAUUUAAAAAAAUUAUAUAAGUUAUUUUUAUGAAGUGCAUGUUAUAUGUUUGGUAGUUGAAAAGGAAAAGAAAAAAAUUAAAGCAAAGAUCUAGCGAUUAAAUCUUGCGUGUUUUACCUUUUACAAUUAUUGGUAGGAUUACUAUUUUGAUUAAAAAUAUAAAGCGAUAAUCAAGACAAAGUUAUUGUCAUGCAAAAAUCCUAAAACCCUAAAUGCUGAAGCCGUAAAACACUAAAUCGUAAAUCUUAGAAACCAAAUCCUUGUAAACCCUAAAACAUUAAAUCAAUGUUGUUGGGUUUAUUAAAAUUCAUUAAAAAAUAUUGUUGCGGCACGAUAGGAUUACUAUUUUAAUUAAAAAUCUAAAGUCCUAAUCAAGGCACACAAAUUGAAGAUCAAACUCACCAAAUUGAUGUUUUUGAUUUCAAAAAACUCAGGGUUAAUGCUCACAAGAGUAGUUGGGAUGUUUUUGUGGUGAAAUUUCAGAAGAUUAAUGGGCAAAAUGGAAGAUUGGUCAAGGAGGGUUAGGGUUUCGGUGAGAGAGAAGGAGAAGAAAGCUGAAAAGUGAGGAACCGAACCCGCGGUUCCAUUCAUAUCGCGAAGCGAUCCGAGGUCGGAUCGCUUAUCAAUGCCCUCGGAUCCGACAGGGGCUCGGAUCCUCACCGCCAGAAGCACAGACGAGCCGUCGGAUAUGUCUGGAAUUUCUUAGAUCCGAGUUCGAAUUAAAAGAUCCGCGGUCGGAUCCAACUGGAUUUUUCGGAUCCGAGCUCGGAUCUGUAUUUCUCUGCACUAAUUGCAGAAACUGCAAUUUUUCAAACUUUUUCUCCCUUUUCCGGCCAAUUCCAAAACACGCUUUGGACUAACGUUUUAUCAAUUCUAACCUCCCACGCACAUGUAAUAUACCCAAAAUACAAUAUCCAAUCUCUCAAAAUACAUUAAACACAUCUUCAUUGAAAAUUGAGGGGUGAGGUUCUUUGAUCAUUUUCUUGCAUUGUUACACCAAAAUGGCACCUUUGGGCAUUUAUGCACAUCAAAUGAGUCCAUGAGCAUUUAUAAACAUGUUAUCACCAAAACUCACCAAAAUAUAUUUAAAAUGCAACAUUGUAUGUAUGCUUGCCAAUUCUAAACAAUGUGAAGAACGAAGUUAGGUUAUAAAACCUCACUUUUUUUACACUUGUUCUUCAAUUGCAUAUUCAAGAUGGAAGUUCUGACAUGUAACUAAUUUACCGUGUAUAAAAUAGAUGAGAGGUUAGUAUAAUCCAUAAGAGUACUCAUAUAAAGUGAGAACUCAUAUAACCUACAUUUUUUUGUCAUAUUCACAAAAGAGUACUCAUAUAAAGUGAGAACUAAGAUACGCGCGAUGGCAUUGUUCCACUCAUAUUCGUGAAAUUUUAGAAUAUAUACAAAAUGUCACCAAAAGAGUAUGCAAUCCAUAAGUUAGGUUGUUUAUACAAUAACGAUAUAAGUAGCAUGCCAUCAAUGCUGCCCAAGUCUUCCAUGAGUACCACAUGUUGUUGGUUUGGGUAUUCUUUGAUUUCACCGUGGUCGGUUUGGCACUACUGUAUGGAUUUGAGUAAUAUGUGUCAACAGUGUACCAUCUUGAAUUUGAGUGCUUGUGCCUUCACCUCAUUCACAUUGCUCAGAAGUAUGCCGAUAUGAGUCCCUAUCGGGCGUAAACUCUGGAAAAGUAAUAGGGGAUCUAAAAUGCCCAAUCGAUACAUCUCUUUCAUGCAUGACUUCGAUCUGAGGUGUGACAAAAGUAGAUGCGCCAGCUUGGUCCUCAGUAGCCAUCGAACCUCCAUGGAAUCCAGUUUGUAUGACGGGUUCUGGUGAUCGGAGUCUACGACGUCGUCCACCGCCAUGCUGACUUCCCUGGGUAUUUCUAGGAGCUCGCUCAACACGACAUGGAUCAGGGUAUAGUGGAAUCUCCUGUGGUACGUGGGCAGGGCGAAAUGCAAGUCGGCGUGACUCUCCUACAUGAUGCAAAGAUGUGGAUGCAAAGUCCCUCAACUCCUGAAAAUAUCUGCUGUGUUGUUCAUCACUAACUACAAGAGAGUCCUGUGCCAUGAAAUACAUGCGAGACAUGGCAUCGCUCUAAAAAAAUAAAUAUAAGAAUUAGAAGGAGAUACUGUGGUAAAAAAUAGUUUAAAAAGUGAGCAAACUCAAAGUGAUUCCACUAAGUGGGUUGAAAAUAAACUUACAAGAUAUUAUGCCCUAACGCUAUCACCCUGAAAGCUCUCUGAGAAAGCGAAAAAUCGAUUCGAAUUUGAAAUAUAAAUCACCGUCCGCUCCCGAUACCACUGAACAUACUCAUCCGAUGGAUAUGUAGUAUCUUCAAUUACAGUGGCAUCUUGUACAUGAACACGUCGCUCAGUCCAAAUAUCAAUAUAUUAUCUAUGCAUGGUGUUCCAGUCUUGAUUCGCCCUACCACGGCGAUCUAGAGAAUGUAGAGCUGCCUGAUUAUCCGUCAACCUCAUAUCAGGUAGGGACUGAUGAAACCCAAACUGCCGCAUAACCCGAUGAGGGAGGUGCGGCUCAACUACAUCCCAACAAAUAAGAUACGUUACGGACCUUCAAAUGUCCCGACCUGCAGUACAAUAUGCAGGAAGAGAAGCGAGAACGUCCUCCGAAUAUGGCUGUCAUAUGAACUGAAAAAAAUAUAAAAUCAAAAUUGUUUCAUUUUUUCUAUUAAGAAAUAAUAAAACUUCCCAAUAUUCAAUUCUAACAAUUUCAUGAAAAAAGUGCUCGUCUGCGGUAAAUUAAAAGAUUAAAAAAAGUGCCCGACAAAUUGUGAAAAGUACAGAAACGAGGCUUCGAUUCUACUAUAUCCUUAGGAUCCGUGCUCGGUUCGCAUCUGAAAGGGUGCGGAUCCGGCAUGGUUCGGAUCCGCACCGCCGGAAGCACAGACGAGCCCUCAGAUCUAUAUGAAGCAUUUUUGGAUCCGACCUCGGAUGAAUCGAUCCGCGCUCGGAUCAAUCGAUCCGUGGUCGGAUCCGUCUGGGCACUUAGGAUCCGAGCUCGGAUCUGCAGUUUCUCUGUACUAAUUGCAGAAACUGCAAUUUUUCAAAUUUUUUCGGAUUUUUUUCGGCCAAUUCCAAAACACGCAUUGAAAAAGCGUUUUAUCAAAUCUAUCAUCCCACGGACAUGUAAUAUACCAAAAAUACAGUAUCCAAUCUCUUAAAACACAUCAAACACAUCUAAAUUGUAAAUCGAAGGGUGAGGUUCUUUGAUAAUUUUCUCAUUUUACACAAAAAAUAGGACUUUUGGCCAUUACAUGCACAUCAAAUACUAGUCAACCAUUAUUAAAAGGCAUUUAUGAAUUUCUAAAAAAAAUUCGGCAGAGUCUCCCCUAUAAUUGGAGGUUAACUCCCUGCCAACAAACUCAAUUUCCAUUCACAAAAUGCAGUAUGAUAAAUUUAUGCUUUGGAUUGACAAAAAAUUGGCAGAAAAGACUACUGGCACGAUUGUCAAAAAUUCCUAUUGUCCGGACAUAUGUACAAUACCUCUUCAGGACGCAGGCCUGUCAACUGAUCUCGGAAUGCGGGCACAACAUGCCUAACAACCCUGUGUACGUCCAAGUCAUUAUUCCACCUAUAUUUAAUAAAGUAGGAACCUGUUUAGAACAAAUUAAAGUUGGUUCGAUAACAAAUGUCAUUAAAACAACCGAAAUAAGGGCGAAACGCGCACCUAGCUCCAUAUGGACCAGGGUAAUGCUCCAACGGCGCGAUUCGGUCCGGACGCAUGGUGGAUAUAUGUUCCCAAAUCCAGAGCUGUUAGAAAAUUAGAAUCAAUGUUAAAAUUGUAAAAUGAUAAAAUGCAAAAAAUCGAAGAUGUGAAUCCCUAUUGGGUGCAAUGUACCUGUAGCAAAACUAAUGGACCGGCAAUAGCCGAUUUGGCAGGAUGCGUGGCAUCACAAAGUGACCGAUAGAGAGUCGCCAAACGCGCACUACCCCAACUAUAUUGUCCAACAGUUUUCAAGUCCCGCAGUAAUGGAAGAUACAACAAAGGGACUUUGUUGCCGGACUUAUCGGACAAUAAAUGUCCACCUAAUAUCAGUAAGAGGUAGAUGCUCGCACGCUGCCUACAUUCGGCAUCUGAAGCAUCGGGUGGCAACUCUGUAUCCAAGACUCUUGCUAAACAUCCCAAUUUUAGCCUCUGUUCAUCAAAGUAUCCAACUGCAGGAGAAAAUCCAAUGAGCUCCUCACAAAUGGCUCCCCACUCCUGAAUGCUGCGGUAUGUGUCUACCCCUAUAACCGGUGGACCAUCGAUGUGCAACCCCCACAACACCUCUACAUCCUGUAAUGUCACGGUAGCCUCUCCAACCAGUAAAUGGAAUGUAUGUGUCUCGGACCGCCAUCUCUCCACUAAACUUGUGAUCAAAGAGUGAUCAAUCAUCUGAUAUCCACUCUCUAGCACCCCCUCAAAUCCAACCAAGACAAUAUAACGACAAACCCGAUCAGGAAUAGGCGUAUGCUCCCAAAAUCCUCUGUCACACCAUUUGACAUCUAACUGAUUGCCCUCAAUAUGUCCGUGAAAAAUGGAAUGUGCCCGGUGUGCAGUUCCCGCCGAUAUAAUGUCGUGCACGUAUGGUCCUAGAUGUAGGCCUGCAGGGAUAGGAGUGUCGGCCAUAAUCUCAAGCAAAUAUCUGCAUCGAUUAAAUUCUAUGAGUUAUACAUAAGUAAAACCCAAAAAGUCAGCUGUAUCCAAUUUUGACCUAUAAAUCGCGGUCAAUAACGUAUAUCCUCAAAUCUGCAACAAAUUGGAAACAGAAAAAUUGUCCGAAUUCAAAAAAUAUAACGUAUAUCCUCAAAUCCAUCAUAAAAAUUGCAAAAAUAAGCACAACCCACAUCAAAUUUAAACCCAAAUUUCACAACAAAUCUGAACUUGCCCUUGGAUUCAAGUAUUCAAGUAUUAAUUAAACUUAAAAUGCUAUAAGUGAGGCAUUGCAAGUGGAAAAACCUAACCUUUAUGCUGUUUGAGAGUCGCAAUGGGACGACAAUGCUGGCAAACUUUGGGAAGCGGCACUCGCGGAACCAGUCUUUGGAUGCUCCGGUCUUUGGAUGCUUCGAUGUGCAGAAACCAGCUCUGUUUUCUUUGUUUUGCUAUUCGACAAUUCCGAAUUCUUUGUUUUGCUGUUCGACAGCUAUGUUUCGAUAUUGCGUUCUGCUUCUCCCACUCAGUUUUGUCCUUUUUUUUUCGAAAUGGGGUCUUGGCGGUAGUUAGUGCGAGCUCAGUGAGCUCGCACCCCAUUUGUAGAAAACACUCCAAGAACCACCCUCGUUGUAGAAUUCUUUUUUUUUUCAUCAUAAACUAAGAAUUCACCCAUAUAUAGAAGCAUCUGGUACGACAUGUUUCUUUCUUCUUCGACGGUCUAAUCCAUGGGGCCUAUCAAAUUGCACAGUCAAAGUAAGGGAAGUUCUUAUCCAUGGGGCCUAUCAAAUCCCAGACUUUUAAAAGUAAGAGAAGGAAGAUGGGGAAUUUCUGCAAAAAUGUCUUGAGAAAUAUUCCACGUUAAGAAUGCCCGGAUAAGAAUUUAAUACUUAGAAUGAGAAUAUUGCAAGGGAAAUACACCGCCACUGUCGGCACAGCACGGCGGUUGUAACGCGUGUGACGUUAAGUGGCCUAGUAUGCGCCACGUUUUCUUUGUCUUCGUUAUUCAUUUAUUUAUUUUUCUUGUUUGGGAGAUAAUUUUCCUUAAGAGGUCUAUUAAAAGAUUGAACAAGCGAGUAAUCACUUUGAUUUUGUUCAAAAAAAAAAAUCAUCUUUCAAUUAAAAUUUAUUAUUCUCAAUAUAUAACUUAACGUAUCAUUUGAAGGCAUACACAUUCAUAAUUAAUUAUUAUUGACUCUAUCCUCUAUUUAAAUACCUUUCUAACCUAAUUUUACUUUUAAAAAUAAAUUACUAACACUUGAGCCGCUUUCAAAUGAGCACUCAUUCGGGAGCUUCUAAGUUUUUGAGUCAUAACAAUUGGUUCCUUCCGAUGUAACUAUGGUUACUCAAUAGUUCCCAUGCAAACUAUUUAAAGCCUGUUGUCAUUUCACUACCAAGAUAGUCAUAAAAUGCUCCCAAAAGUAAAUUAUUUUGGCCUCUUAAUUCAGAGGCUAAUCUUACGUACCUUCCAAUGUAAACUAGCGAAGAUUCUAAGCACCAACAAGAAUUUAUACCACUAGUUGGAAAUGACCUAGGAAACUGCAGCUUUCUUACUAUCCAUUUAUAUGCUCCGUUUGAAUUAACUAUUUUUUGGAGUGUUUUUAAAAAAUUUUAGUGUAUAUAAAAAAUUUUAACUAUAAAAACUCUUAAAAUAUUUGAUAUAUUGUAUGAAUAAAAUAUUUUUUAAGUUAUUAUUUAUUAUCAUAAUAUUAUAUUUUAAAAACUUAUUUUUGAAAAAAUCGUCAAUCCAAACGGAUUAAACUUGUUGAGAAGAAUCAAGUGGCAAAUGUUAUGCUUCUUCCGGGGGAUCAAUUGGAGUGUCAGCAUUGAGGAUAAGAUCGGGACCAUUUGAUUGAUGCCCAUGAUUGACUUUUGGUUUGACUUGGCUUCACUCCUUGGAAACGCCAUGAAAAGACCGAGGAAUCUUAAAAGGCCAUGCUAAGUUGAUAGAACGUUCAUGUACCUACCAGUUGAGCUGUUAAAUGGAACGAGUAGCUCGAAAGCUCGAUUGACCUCGACUCGAUAAGGCUCGAGUUCGACUCGUUAAUUAUGGUAAACGAGUUGAGAUCAAGCUCGAGAUAUGCUCGUUUGAUUGACAAGCCGAGCAAGCUUGAUUCAUUUGUUAUUCGAGUAGCUCGAUUAGACUCGAUAAGGAAGGGUAUAUAUGUCAUUUCACAAUUUAAAAAUAUAAAAAUUGAAAAUUAUAGAUUUUAAUUAGGGUAAAUUUGCAUGAGCUCGAGCUCAUGCAAGCUUGGCUUGUUUGUGAUAAACGAGUCGUUCGAGUUCGAAUUUGAGCCACAUGUCCCAUUUGACGAGUCGAGUUCAAAUACAUUUCAAAACUCGUCCGCCUAGUCGAGCGAGUUCGAACUUAGCUCGAGUUAAGUUCGAGUCGAACUCGGCAGCCAAAUACUCUGUUCGAUUAACAGUUCUACCUACCAGGGCUGUAAAUGUGUCCAACUUAACUAAAUAUUUUAUCAGGCUCGAAUUCGAUAGAACUUUCAAUGUACGGUUCGAACUUGAGUUCGAAUCUAAUCGAGAUCAAAGAAAAAUGAAAAAUAAUUCUUUUUUUAACAUGAGUAAAAUAAACAUUUUAUUUGGAAAAUAAUAAUGGUACGAAAAACCUACAUGUAAUUUCACUGCUAACCUAAUAAAGCCAAUGGACAAGUAUAUAUCGUAUACUUGGAGCCGGACUCAGACGAACCUGUUAAGUGAAUUUGAGUUCAAGCUUUGACUGAGUUGGUUCCCAGUGCUCGUAGCCUCGUAUACGUCCAUAGAAUUGGAAAGGGACAUUCUUGUAAUCCAAUGUCCUCGAGUCAACAAUUUUUGGUUUCUUGAAAACUCACUUGCCAAUUCCCUGUAACUCAAUUCUUUUUUUUUUAAUGAACCUUGUAUACGUUCAUAGAAUUCAAAAGGGCCAUUCUUGUAAAGAAAAGUCCCGAGUCAACAAUUUUUUGGGUUUCUUGAAAACUCACUGGCAAAUUCCAAAGAGACUCUCUAAGAGCGCUGAUGGUGGUGGAUAUACGAUAUAUAGCAGACGCAAGUAAAGAUGAUGCAAGGGUCGGACGUAGUUUGAGUGUUUCAGCAUCCCGUAAGCUGCGUACUUUGUCACUGGUGGUCAAAGAAACAGACUUUCCACGCCUGCGAAGAUUUUGGAGCAGAUAAUUCGCAUCAGCAUGGUGAGGUAAGCACUUCGCGAAAUGAGUAGAGAAAUUUUGGGUGUAAGACUUGGUAAGAGGUAUAUAAGGUCACAGGCUCGCAGGUCUUUCUACCCGAGAGCCAAGAUUAGUGAAUAGGCAGUGUUAACUACUAAGAUUGUCCAUUAAUAAACGAUGCAAUUUUGCCCUCUUUUUACUCAUCACUAAAACGGGAACGGGUCUGCAAGACUCUCAAAUAUAACUUGUGGCUUUGUCCAAGGGGAAAAAAUUGUAAAGAAAAUAUGCAAUGAUAUCAAGGGUAUUUAUACAAACUUUUUGACAACAUGUAUAAUUAGAUGUACACCAAAAAAAAAAAUUUAGUGGAGAAGCCGAUAUAAAUAGACUCUCAAAUGUACAAAAUUGCACUGUGCUUGUUAAUUAAUCAUUCUGGUGCGCUUUUUCACACAUUUUCCAAUGUAAAAAGUGAAAUCAUGACCAAAAGAUGCUGUGAAACUACGAAAUAAGUUUUAUCGGCUGCACGGGGCAAUUGUAUGAGAAAGUGAAAAGAAACUUUGAAGAAAAAAAUGUGUGAUUUCUUAAAGCUUUAAAAAAGAUUGUGCAAGUGGCUUGCAAAAUCUAUGUCUAGGAAUAAAGAUCCACUUUCUGCACUUUGUUGAAGUAUUUCCCUCAACUUCUUUUUUUUUUUUUCAUUAUUUUUGUUGGAAUAAUCGUUUGAAUCACUCACUAAACAAGGAAAUCAACAACUUGGAGCUCUGCAAGUACUCUUAGAUUUCCAUCCCGGAUGGCAUUAGCCAGCAAGUCCCGGGGAUUGCCUUCCAAAUUAAUUCUCAUGAAAGCAACUAUAAUUCCACCAACAUAUCUUAUCAUGGGUUCUCUGGACAUCCCUUUUUUGCACAGGCAAUAUAUGCAGUUCAUUCGAAUCCCCGGAGCGCCAUCAUCUUGCAUGUCAAAUAACAGACAACCAAUGGGUUAUAUGUUGGAGUUUGAUAUUGAUUGCUGAUGGAUAGUUUAAUAGGAUUUAAUAAGAAGAUCAUAAAAAUCCAAAAACUACUGAUGCACCAUUGUAAAUCUGCCCUGAAUUAGGUGAGUUUGGAUAGGUCUUCCAAACACUCGUCUGUUUUUGGGAUGGCAUGGAGCAAAUUGUACAUUAUGAUUUGUCAACUAUCUAUCCUCUUCCUCCUUUUAGGUGGCGUUUGGUUCACACAUCAGAAUCGAAUUCGGAUUCGAAAUCGGAUAUCUUGGGUUUGGAAUGAGGUCAUUCAUUCCAAUACAUUUGUUUGGUUCAAAUACCUGAUAUAUGUAUAAUUACUAUAGUUGAUAUUUGGUUCGUCAACUCUUUCGGAAUAGAAUGUAAUAAAUAUAUUAUAAACCACAUCAUAAAUGAUAGUUAUUGGCUCUUUGUAAAUGGAAUAUAAGAAAUUUUCACUAAUUAAACAUAUUAGUAAAUUUAGUCUAACUAAUUAAUAAUUUCUAUUAGUAAACAUGUAUAAUUAUUAGUAUAAUUGAUAAUAUUAAUUAUAUUACAUAAAUUAAUAUACAUUAUAUAAUACAUAUAACUAAUAAUAAUAUUAUUAUAAGUUUGUAACUAAUUAAAUUAAAUAUUAUAUAUAUAAUUAAAUAGAAAUAUACAAAUGUUAUAAUAUAAAUAUAUAAUUAUAAUUAUAUAAUAUAUACAAAUAUUAAUUAUAUUAAUAUUUUAUAUAAAUAUAAUAUAUAUUACAGAUUAAAUAUAGUUAUUAUUAUAUAUUAUUAUAUUUAAAAUAAUAAUAAUAAUUAUAAUUAUAUAACUUAUUAAUAUUACAUACAUGUAUAUAUUAUAAUUAUAUGCACAUAUAAUAUACAUUUAUAAAUAUACAUAUAUAUGUUUAUUAUAAAUAUAUUAUUAUAUAAUGUUAAUAAAUUUAUAAUAUAUAAUAUAUAGGUAUAAUUAUAUUUAACUAAAUAAUUAUAAUAUAUAAUUAUAUAAUAUAAUAAUAUCAUUAUUAUAAGUUUGUAACUAAUUAAAUUAAGUAUUAUAUAUAAUUAAAUAUAAUUAUACAAAUGUUAUAGGAGUAAUAUAAAUAUAUAAUUAUAAUUAUAUAAAAUAUAAUUAUUAAUUGUACUAAUAUUUUAUAUAAAUAUAAUGCAUAUUGAUAUUAGAUAUAGUUAUUAUUAUAUUUAAAAUAAUAAAUAUAAAUAUAAUUUAUUAAUUUAUUAAUAUUAUAUACAAGUAUAUAUUAUAAUUAUAUGCACAUAUACUAUACAUUUAUAAAUAUACAUAUAUAUUAUAAAUAUAUUAUUAUAUAAUAUUAAUAAAUUUAUAAUAUAUAUUAUAUAAAUAUAAUUAUACUUAACUAAAUAAUUAUAAUAUAUAUUUAUAUAAUAUACUAAUAUUAUAAUAAAAUAUUAUAAUUAUAAUAUAUUAUAUAUAUGUAUAUAUUAUAAUAUAAAUAUAAAUAUAUAAUAUAUGUAAUAUAUAUAAAUAUUAAUUAUACUAAAUAUUAUGUAAUUAUAAGAUUUUGGAAUCACACUUGGGUUUUGGACAAAACCCACCCUUUUACUAGGGAAUGGAGAGAUGCCAAAUUUUUAGAAAUCAUUCCAAAAUUUCAAUUCCCAUACCAGUGAACCAAACACCAAUUAUGGAGUUUAUUCCAUUACUUCAUUUCGAUACCCUUUUAUCAAACGCCUUUAAGCUUUCUGCGGGGAGCAUCAUCGGGGGUGCGUGGGUCUUUGAUUCUGUCGUCCUCAAACAAGCUAGAUCAAUCCUGGAUAACUAUGAAGAAAAGGUGAAGAUCUCAACAUGGCGAAGCCAAAGAAGAUAUGUUUUCACCAAGAACUUAAUAGUUCUCCAGGAGAAUGGUGUGUCUGGGUUUAAGGGAAUGUUGGUAUAGGGGACCUUAAUUGACUUCUUUUACAUGGUUAAAAGCUACAGGUCACUGCGAUGAAUAAAGGUCUCAAUUAAAGCAUGUCAAAACAGCUUAAGGAAUAGGAUGGUGUAGGGAAUCCCAAACACAUUUUUUAUAGCAUUGGAAUUCGGUAUUUAUGUCAACGGAUAGGUUUUGAAUUGAAUUUCUUUAAUCCAGAUCCAAACUCAUUUAAUUUAGUUAGACCCCAAAUUCAGAUCCAGACCCUUUUAGAUUUGAAAAAAUAAAUUCAUACCCAAACCCUUAUGGAUCUGGGUAUUCAAUGGGUAUCUAUAGGCAUUUUCUGAACAUAUUAAAGAAAAAAUGUAUUAAAAAUAUAUAGAGUUCAUAAAUAAUAUAAAUACAUCUAAUUUUUGUUUUCAACUAAUAAAAUUAACAUUCAACAAGUUGAAUGUAAUAUUGUGAAUUCAAAGAAAAAAUUAUUAUUGACUGUUUCUAUAUGUUUUCAAAGAUUCAAUUUCAUCCACAUCUAAUAUUUCAUUCGUUCGCCUUUACUUUUCAUUCUUUUCUUGAAAAAAUUUGUACCAAUUACAAUGACAAUUAGGAUUAGUUUUUAAAAAAGUAAACAAUUAUAACAUAUAUUAAUAUUCAGCCUUAUUAAAAACAUAUAAUUUUGUACCACUUUUUCUCAUUUAAGCUUCAAUAUUGAUUGAUGCCUCGCAAUCCAGUACUAAAAUAGUGAAUGAGAUAAAAGUCAUUUGACUAAGAAUCGAUGGCAAAUAAAUAAUAGAAAAAGAAAAUUUAUAAACAUGUACUCAUUUCUUUUUAUUCAAUCAAAUUAUCAGUAGUCACUAAUAUUUCAAUCAUAUCUGAAAGCAAUUUCGCACGAAUUUAAUCAAUCAUCCAACCACCAAUACUAAAUGUAAAUUCUGAUGCCAUGAAAUCUUACUGUAUUUGAUCCAAUAGCUAUAAAAUAUUAGAUUAUUUUAUAAAUUUACUAAUAUAUAUCAUAUAUAUUAUUUAAUUAUACAUAUAUGAAUUUGGGUAGGAUUUGGUAUGGGUUUGAAUUUAAAUAUGAAUUCUAGAAAAUCAAAUCCUACCUAGACCCCUGACUCUCUCACAUGGUUAGGAUCUGGGUUUGGGUAGGGCUCUGAUUUAAGAAAUUAAAUCCGAACCCUAUCUAAAUAUAGUGGAUCUGAGUUAGAUAUGGGUAAGAUUCAGCCCAUUGACAUGCCUAGAAUUAAGAAACCACUUAUCCACUUCCAGAGUAUCCUAAAAGAUGAUUGCCUAUGCAAUUACGAGCCCAUUGCCCCUUCUAAGUUCCUUCUGUAAAAUGGAGACUACUCUCUCAUUAUUGGUUCUUGUGUGAGAAUGAAAAAAGAAAUUUUUUUUGGAAGUCAAGCAGUCAACCCUUGAGUUUCUAUAUAUAUUUCCAUUAACCCACUUUUCAAGUAAAUUUGUGUGGCAAAGUUUAAGAUUGAUUUCUAUUUUAUCUGUUAGGUCUGAUCCCAAAAAAUUGACUAACAAGAAUAAUAAGAUUCUUGUCAACUCAAUAAUAAUAAUAACAAAACAAAUAAAUCAAACAGAGAAACACGAAAUUUUACGUGGUUCGAUUAAAUUGAUCUACGUUCACGGACAAAAGAGUAGCACAUUUACUAUAAUAGAAAGAAAGUACAAAAAGAGAGAAUAUAAAAUCUUAUGAAAUAUUUCAUAUGCUCAAAAGGUACCUAAAACUGAAAAAACGAAAGAGCACAAAUAACAUAAAUGCUUAAUGGCUCAAAGACCUAUAACUUACUCUUUUGGUUGAUACCUAACUAAAACUCCUCUCAAAUUGGGGCGUAGGCCCCCCAAAACUCUUUUGAACUAGUGCAUACGACACUUGGAUUGGUGCACUUAACACACUUAAACUCACUUAAUCAACUAUAUUUAUAACAAAUACAAGGAGAGAUUUCUUUUUUAAACUUUUGAUAUGAGAUACAAAGACACAUUUAACAAAUCUCCACUUUGGUAUGUAUCCAACAUCGAUAAAUAGCAAAUAAAUAGCAAACGAGUUCCACCUUAUACAUAAAAAUUUCAACGGAUCUCAACAAACAACCAAAAUUUCAACAGACCCCAACGAACUAGGAUGCAAAAGAUUCAAUGGAUCCCAAUGAGUCAAAACUCACAAAAAGGUUCAGCAGAUCCCAACAAACUAAAAAUCACGAACAUAAUAUUACUCCACCUUUUUCACGAAACCCUCAACGAAUUCCAAGGGUCAAACAGUUCUUCUUCAAAACCCAAUUGAACUCCAUUGAACAAAACCCUCAAUAAGUUCCAAUGAGUCAAAUAACUCUUCUUCAAAAUCCGAUUGAAUUCCAAUGAAAAUUUUUAUCCAAAAUCCUAAUGAAAAUUUAUGUGGUUCGGUCAAAUUAACCUACGUCCACGGGUGAAGGAGGAGAGAGUAUAAAUCCUAAGACAUAUUUCCUAAGCCCAAAAGACAUUUAAAACUGAAAACACAAAAGAGUCUAAAUAACACAAAUGUUUAAUGAUCCAAAUGCCCGUAACUUGCUCUUUUGAUUUGAUGUCUAACCAAAACUCCUCUCAAAUUAGAGCGUAAGCCUCCCAAAACUCUUUUGGAUUGAUAUAUACGGUACUUGGGUUGGUGUAUUUAGCAUAUUUAAAUUUACUUAAAUUCACUAUAUUUAUAACAAUCACAAGGAGAGAUUUUCUUUGUUAAACUACCCAUGUAGGAUAUAAAAACACACUUAAUAUUUUCUAUAGUCCAUCUAAUGAUCAAAUGCAACGAAGUUGGAAAGCUAAUAUGACAUUAUUAUUUCAAUCCUUUCACUAUUAUUUUAUACUGUCAUUUCAAUCUAAUAUGUGGGAGUUAACUAUGUAGAUCUCGAGAAUUCUCAUGUCUCUUGAAUUAAUAAAGUUAAAGGAUGCUUUGCAUAUUUAGGUGCGGUAUGAGUGACACUUUCAACUCUGCCCAGCGGCGUUAGAUGUAGCGCAUUAUUACUGUACCAUGGAAUGCGUAGCACUUGUAGUUAAACAUAAUACUAACUACAAAGUAGGAUCUGUGUCAUUCUCCUUAAAAAAAAAAAAAAAAAGUGUCAUUCGUGGUACUGAUUUGUAAAAUGUCAAUUACUGAGCAUCAGAAACGUGAAAUUUCAGCCAUCAAAUAAAAUUGUUCCUGAAAAUUUUCUCGAGCUUCAGUAAUUCAAUCAAGCUUCAGUAAUUCUUGAGUCUCGACUGUCCUGCCUCUCAAGUCCAAGGUCGAUUAAAACUAACAAAAGAAAAAAAUGUGAGACUCGAAAGUCAACCGACAUAACCCAAAAUUCCACAAAGUCACCAAAGCCCAGUCGUCUCUCGGUCUCCCUAGCACAUAUUAAAUGACAAAUAUUUGCACACUAACUACUGGGCAGAGAAACCAACUCCCUUUAGUGGAGUUGGCCACCACCUUUAGCGUGGGGUGGGAGAUCAAGGGUUCAACCCUUGCUCCCAUCAAAAAGUUACCACUUAAUGUGGCUUUGCUUAAGAUUCAUGUGAGUACUGUGGGUGCUGUGUACCCGUAUGAUCCGAUGGUGGUUUAGUCCCCGUGACCCGGGGUUAAUCACAUUUUAUCCCAUUAAAGAAUACCCCAUUUCUCAGUUUACCCCCUAACCUUUAAUUUUGUUCACUUAACCCCCUUUAGGACAAAAUUGCCCUUGCAUUAUUUUGACUUUUCAUUUACCUUAUUUUCCUUUCUUUUAUUUCUUUUUCUCUUUCUUCUUUAUUUAAUUCUUCCUCUUUCCCACAAAAAUCUUCACCUUAAUGAUUGAAAUUAAAAAGGAGGAAUUGUAGAGAUCUAUCUUUUCCUUAAAUGAUUAAAAAAAAUUCAAAUCACUUUUCUAAAAUACAAUUUUUUUUAGCCUUUCAAUUCUUUUAAUUUUGGGUUUUCCUCUUUUCUUUCUAGUUUCUCAUUUUAUUCCCAAGAAAAUAUCUUAAGAUGAAAUUGUGACCUGAUUAAUAAUUAUCAAUUGAAAUUUGUGACACGUGGCAUCAUACAAAAAAUCAAAAUUAGUUUUUGAUGUCUUUUAAACCUUCGCCCAAAAAUAUGCGAUUACAAACUCAAAACAAAAAUUUUUGUGGAAAUCGAAUUUUCUAUUGGGAAGGAUGAUAGAGAGAAGAAAGAGAAAAAGAAAUAAAAGAAAGGAAAACAAUUUCAUCUUAUGAUAUUUUCUUGAGAAUAAAAUGAGAAACUAGAAAGGAAAGAGGAAAACCCAAAAUUAAAAGAAUUGAAAGGCUAAAAAAAUUGUAUUUUAGAAAAGUGGUUUGAAUAUUUUUUUGAUCAUUUAAGAAGAAGAUAGAUCUUUGUAAUUCCUCUUUUUUAAUUUCAAUCAUUAAGGUGAAGUUUUUGUGGGAAAGAGGAAGAAUUAAAUAAAGAAGAAAGAGAAAAAGAAAUAAAAGAAAGGAAAACAAGGUAAAUGAAAAGUCAAAAUAAUGCAAGGGCAAUUUUGUCCUAAAGGGGGUUAAGUGAGCAAAAUUAAAGGUUAGGGGGUAAACUAAGAAAUGGGGUAUUCUUUAAGGGGAUAAAAUGUGAUUAACCCAUUGAUCAGUUGAGGUCCUACUUUGCUUAACUCAGGUUAGACAUGCUUGUUUCUUCCCUCUCUGCCACAAAUUAUGCAUGCAUUCCGAGACAAUGCAGUUCUAUUUGUUGCGUUUGUAUGAAAUUGAAAUUGCAUGUAUUGAUUGUGUUUUUGAUGGGUUCUUUAGAACUGCUAGUAGUAUAAUCAAUAAUGCAUGAUAUAUUGCCUUGUUGACUUCGUUUGCUGGCCUAAAAAGUUAAGCCGAAAGGAGAGAUGUUUAUAACGUUUUGUUAAAUAACUACUGCAAACAGAGGAAAGCAUAUCCCCCAGGGAGGAAUAAAGCAUGAAUAAAAGAAAUCUGAGAUGUUUGUCAAACCCAUCUGAACAAUUUUACUGUAGUUGAAAGCUUCUGAAUUCUUAUUCCGUUGGACGGAUUUUGAAACUUCCCUGUUAUGUUUCUAUUUAGUUAGACAUAGGACAACUUCACUUACUGAGGAUAAUUAUCUUGUUCAACAAUCUAUGCUCCAUUACCUCUGAAUCCACAUCCUGUCAAAUUUCUUUUUCUUGUUUUUUGAAUAUUUUCUGAUACAUAGGCUGUCAUGUUAACCAAAUCAAUUUAGGAGAACGAAUUGGGUUUUGGCACAUUUCGUUGGAUUGGACGGCUGUUGAACUUUGGCUGCACCUUUGAACUUGUGUCUUAUGAACUUGGUUCUCUUAUAGGCAGUAUGUAAUCUAGUCUAGGUAAUAAGAUCAUAGAUCAAUUAAUGAAUCCGUGGAACUAGACGGAUUUAUGGUUUUUAACUGCAACGGCAGUCUAACUUCUUCACCAGAGUCUUCGUUACAAAUUGAAUCUGGUGCGUGACUCUAAAUCUGGCCUGAACUAGGUGAGUUUGAAUAGGUUUUUCAAUAAGAUGGCACGGAGCAAAUCGUCCUAAUAUGAUACUUGUUUACAGUCCAUCCUAUGUUCCUCUUAAGCUUUCUGUGAGGAGCAUCAGCAGGGCAUUUUGCUCUGAUUCUGCUGUCAGCAAAUAAGUUACAUCAAUCCUAGAUGAGUAUGAAGAAAGGUGAGGUUUCCACAUGUUAAAGCCAAAGAAGAAACGGAAUUCACCAAGAGUUCAAAUUUCUUCAUGAAAAUGGUAUGUGUACGUUUGAGAAAGAUACUGAAUGACGCAGACUGUGUUUACCUUGAUAUAGAAGACCUUGGUUAACUUGGUUCUAAACAGUUCAAACCUUCUGGUCAAUAAAAUGAAUAAAGAUCACAAUUAAGGUAUGUCAAAAUGUCUAAAAGGGAAAGAUGAUGUUGGAAAACCUUAGUAGAAUCUCUUGUAUUGCAUAGGAAUUAUGAAUCCACAAUUGCAGUUUCUGAUAUUAGAAAAUUUACCAUUUUGAGUUGCUGUAAGGUUCAUGAUUGCUCUUUUCCACUUUCAGAGUAUCCGAGUAGAUGAUCUUCCUGUUCUGCCCACUUAUUUGGACGCACAUAUUGCCCUGUCUAUCUUCUUUCUGUAAAAUGUAGUUUACUUUCUUACAAUCAGUUCUUUUAAGUUCUAUAUAUUUCCAUUAACCCAACUUUCUUAGUAAAUUUCGUGAGACAAUGAGUGUAAGAAUUGUUCCUGUUAUACAGUCCGUAUGAAGCAAAGAAGUAUGAAAGCUUAUAUAAAUUUAACUAUUUCAAUCCUUUCAUGUAUUUUAUAUGACUUGGCAUCUGGGAGUUAACUUAGAUCUUGAGGAAUUGGAUACAUCUUCCAAACAAUAAAGUUCAGGAUUUUUUUUCUCAUUUAACUGUUGUAUGAGCAACUCUAGACUAUCGCUGUGUUAGAUGCAUUAAUUAUAUCAGUUUACUGUGUAAUCCAUAGCCCUGUAUUAGAACAUGAUAGACUACACAGAAAAACCUAUGUCAUCAGUGGUGUUGAUUUGUAAAAUGCCAAUUAUUGAGCAUGAGAAAUGAAAAAUAUCAGACAUUAAUGAAACUUGUUCUUGAUUAUUUUCUCAAGUGGUUUAAAAAACAGCAAAGGGUUGGUUAAGCUAUACUGAGGUCUCUAAGCCACUAUGUUUCCGUACCUAGGAAACUAAAGAUAAGCAAAUAGCAGAAAAAUUGACAGAUGGCUCAACCUAACAGUUGAAAUUACAGAAGAUUAACUUUGAUAAUAAAUACUUAUCAGACGGGCCAUAUCAGUUUUACUCCAGCAGCUUAUAAAUUUGAAGAAAAUGGAUAUUUUAUCCUCUCGACUAGCCACCCAAUUGGCCAAGCUAGGACAGCAAUUCCAAUGCAUAUAAUCCAUUGCUUCCAAGACAGUUGCUUUGUAUCUGCUAACUCCUUUAACAGUUCCACAAUCAAUACCUGAAGAAGAAUUAUCGCUAGGAUUACACCCCAAAACAUUUUCCUUUUACGUAUCCCUUUGAAGAAGUUUCCUUCAACUCUUUUCGUGUUGAAUAUGACAAAGAGCUGCCAGAGAACAAGGAUGUUGAAGAUCAUGGUAUCCUUUAUUUUGGCAUCCAGGUUGAAGGUUGAUUGACCUUUGAACUGUAUGGUCAGCAGAACAAUGAUAGGAUAGACAGCUUGUCCCACUAUAUUCUUCCACAUGAUGCUGGUUAUAAAUGGCCGCUUCUGGUUGACUGGUGGCAAUUGUCUGAGCUCUUCUGGUGGUUCCUCAAUGGUGAUAGCCAGUGCAGCCAAUGCACCAACUAUCAACUUCACCCAUAGUACUUGAAAUGCUGCAUAUGGGACUUUACCUGAUGAAAUGGCCGCAACAAUAUUGAUAGUGGGAGGUUCUUUAGCAGAAACUGCUGUUACGAAGUCUAUCACAAGACAAGCAAUGCUAACAGAAAGUUGGAACUGUGCGUACAUCUGGAUUUUGUGAUACAUGCCUCUACCCCACCUCAAUACUCUGGCUACAGAAACAAAAUUAUCAUCCAAAAUGAUAAUGUCUGAGUUCUCCUUUGCUUGGCUAGUCCCUUGAAUAUCCAGAGAGAGACCUGCACUAGCUUCCCUUAGCACUGUUGCUUCCCCUAUGCUAUGUCCAGUAACUGCAACGACAUGGCCUCUCUGUUUCAAGCCUUGGACCAUAUGAAGUUUAUCCAAAGUAGAAGCUCGUGCCAUCACACGGAUUGUGCCACAUUUCUCUUUUAUCUCUGUUUCUGCAUUACUUUGCAAGCUUUGACGGUCCACUAAUUCUCCUGUUGUCUCAUCUUGAGUUGGAUUAAUAAUACCACAUUCAAUGGCUAUGGCUCGAGCGGUGGGAAGAUCAUUUCUUGUGACUAGUUUGAUGCUCACUCCUGCUUUCUGGCAGUCCAUCACAGCCUUUUGUACCUCUGGCCGACAUGGGUAUUUCAAGCCUAGGCAACCUAUGAAAGCUGAGUGUUCUUCUGACACUUCUUUAUGUGCAAAUGCUACGCACCUGAGACCCUUAGACUUCAUCUCCUGAAAUCUUUGCUUCAAGUUUUUUUUUUCAUCAAUAGACAUAUGUUUGAUGCUCCCGGCUUCAUCAUAAUAAUGUGAACACCUGGCCAAUAUGAUUUCUGGUUGGCCUUUGUGGUGCACAUGAAUAGUAUCACUGGUAUUCCUCUUGAUCCAUAUGCUACUUUGAGUGUUCUCAUAAUUGAAGAUUUCUGGACUGUGAACGGCACAAUUUGCUCGAACUUGUUCAACAGUGACGUCUACAUCUUGAACACUCCAUGCCUGAAUUGCGCUGUGAACUUGACUCUCAAUAAGUUCAAUGGGAGAUCCUGAUGAGGCUUCAGUGCUUCUCAAAAGCAUACCUUCACAGAGCAGUCCACGAACAUUUCUUGGGAUGAUUGAGGAAGUUCCUGCAUUGAGAAGCUUGUUGCCGAAACAAAUUUCGCUUACUAUCAGAUGAUUCAAGGUAAGACUUCCUCUUUCAUCUGUGCAGAUUACAUCUGCAGAACCAACUGCUUCACAGGCUGAAAGAUUUCUUACUAGUGCCUUUUGAGAUGCCAUCCUUUUGGUUGAGUAAGCAAUGGUUAUCAUGACAGCUAGGAGCAGACCUUCAGGGAUGGCAGUUGCAGCAAUAGCAACUGGGGUGGCUAGGAUCCCUAUCACAUCAUUGCAGACUUUAUGGAUAUUUGUCUUCCCUGCAGUGGUGAAGUCUGAUUUUCCAUCCUCAUUCCGCAUAUUCCCGACAAAGUAACGAACAAGCAGUACUACCAGCACCAAGGAAGCAACCAUUAAACCGACUAUAGAUAUUUGUAUGGUCAGCUGACGUAGCUUCCUUUGUAAUGGAGUUCUUUCCUCAAUAUCAUAUCUUUUUGAGCUCAGCAUCUUCCCCCAUUCAGUGUUGAUGCCGACUGCAGUCACAAGCAUUCGAGCAGAACCGUUGAUCACCUUCGAGCCAGAGAGAAAGAAUGGAUUACAGCUUUCAUUGAUUUCCACUGAUUCCCUCCCUGCUGCGAUGCAUGACUCGUCCACCUGUAAAGGGUUCCCAUCUAUGAAUAAGCCAUCAGCAGGAACUUGGUCUCCAGUCUUCAAACAAAUAAUAUCUCCAACAACGGCUUCAAACACUGAGAUGCGCAUCUGUUGCCCAUUUCUGAUCACAAAGACGGAGAAGUUGUCACGAGCUUUCCAUAGCUUAAAGAAUUGUCUUCUUGGCCAGAGUUUACUCGAGGCAGUCACCAUGAUCACAAGAAUGACAGCGACAAAUAUGCUUCCCCCAUCAGACCCUCCUCUCAGCCCGUGACGUGUUAUACCAAAACAGACUGAAAGUGUUGCACAGACAAGUAGGAUAAUAAUGAUGGGAUCUCUGAAGGUCUCAAGCACAAUGGGUAAAGUUUUUGGAGUUGGCUUCUGGAUAGUGUUUGAACCAAAGUUAUGGCGCCUACGUGCAAUUUCCUCAUCAUCACCUUGGAUACCGCUUCCAACAUCAGAUUUGAGAUAUAAGGCAACUCCUGGAACGCCUCCAAGCUGAUGAAGCUGCUCGAUGUUUUUGCGGCGGGCAAGCUCAGAUAGGCAUUGUGGUAUGAUAUAAAUAACUGUAUCAGGUGGAGAUGGCAGAAGAUUGUCCAACAGCCCACUGUGGUUUUCAUCUGCAUUAUCCCUUACAGAAGGGAAGCUGCCAUGGCUCCGGACAUUUUUGAAGGCCCUUGAACAAUAUAUGGUCAGAAAAGCAGAGCCCCAUUUCCUUUUGCUUUUGUCGAGUUUACUAAGGUGCAUAACCAGGUUAAUGCAGGACAAAUUUGCAUGAACUAUUGAAGGCAUAUUUUCGAAAGCCAAUGAUAGCUGCUAAGAAACAGAAUGUUGAGAUUUUCUAUCUCACACAAGAUAAAAAACAAGGUUCAGAAAUCGGAGGGAGAUAACGGUACGAGAGCCAAUGUACAAGGUGGAGAGAAAAUAAAAGCUAAGCGUUCACGAUCAACUAAUUUGAUUAGCUGCAUGAAAAGAUUUUAGAAAAACUGUUUGGUGCACGUUUGGGUGCUGCCUCUAUGUAGUAUUUAUAGCAGCAUAUGGUGUGAACCGUCAUGCAUGAACCAUCACAAUCAAAGCGUUCAAUCACAGCCACCAUGCCUCAUCUUCUAAGCAAUUCCCAACAAGAAGCAUUUAGACCCCAAACCAAAAAGUGCCAUUAGCGUGUCUUAGAACCAGGAUAGAUUUACAGCGUCAGUUUUACGUGUUGGGAAUGUGUACACGUUAAAAGAAAAACGCAAGGCCAUUGCCAGAUCUUCAUGUGUUACCAAUCAAGCAGAAGUUGGCCAACUCUCUGCCCUUCCCAUACCAUAGAUGUUGCUGUUUACCGAUUACCGACAUCUACAUUGACGAAAACUCCAACUUUCUCAUCGAUCUUGGCACAUAAUUUGUUUAAAUAAAAAAAGUUUAUUUAACAUAUGGUACAGAACUGGCUUGACGAGGCAACGGACACAGUAUCCCUAUACUCGGAGCCGGACUCACACGAACUUGUUAUGUCAAUUCGAGUUCAAGUUUUGACCGGAUCGACUCGUCGCGACCUUAUAGAUGUCCAUAGAAUUCAAAAAGGAGAUAACAUACAGAACAAUCAAGACAGGCAAGUUUUUUUAUCAAGUUUAUCUAUUACAAGUUUUUUAAAAGCUUUAUAAAGUUACACUGACCUUAAAAAAUUUCUCAAAACUUUUAAACUAUACAUUUAAAAAUAUUUAAAAAUUUAUACAGUUCAAAAAUUUUUUUAAAAACUUCUACAGUGAAAUUUUAGACAAAUAAUCAAAAAAUCCCCUUGCCCAACGGAGCUUUGGUUUCUUUAAAACUCACUUGCAAAUUCCAAAGAGAGUGCUGAUGGUUGUGGAUAUACGAUACAGCAGCACACGUAAGUGAAGAUGAUGUAAAGGACACGUAAGUGGAGAUGAUGUAAAGGGUUGGACGUAGUUUUAGUGUUUCAGCAUAGGUGGUCAAAGAAACGGACUUUCAACUCCUAGGAAGAUUUUGGAGCGUACUUAAUUUCUACUCCUAGGAAGAUUUGUUAAAGAUUUUGCGUAAACAAGAAAAUAUACGAGUACUUAUAAGCUAGUUACAUACAACUUUGGGUGGUAGUUAACAUAAUUUAAAAAUCAAAACUAAACAAAAAGAAAAAAAGUUUUUUUUUUGGAAUAUGGUUGGAUGUUUUACUUUUUAAUGUAAUGGUUUUAAAAAAAACCUUCAAAAGAUGACAGAAAUAGAAACAGCAUAAGGGCUUUCCUUCAUGCAUUAUAUAGUAAAAUUUAGAUAUGUCAUCUAGGGAUAAAAGUAAAUAGGAAGGAGGACAGACAAAAGAUGACGUCUGCGACUAGGAAAUAAAUUACUUAUAAACAAAUAUGUAUGAUCUAUAUAAUUAUUUAUAUUAUAGGAAAUAAAUUACUAGGAGAGUAUUAUCUUAUAGUUGACAAAAUCAAAUGAAGAAACUUAUUUACACACACAUUGAUUUAUUUAUAUUAUCAACAUAUUUUUUAAUUAUUUUUUUAUUUUACAUACACCACAUUAAAAAAAGUGUUACAAUAUUUUUAAAAAAAAAAUUAUUUCAAAUAAUCUCUAUCCAAACACGCUUGACUUUAUAACAAAGGCAGAAGAAGAAACGCGUUGUCCUGUUGUAACAUACAUCUUACUGGAAGUAAUUUUUGCUAGGUGGUUAAUGUUGUAAUGGAGCACGCCUACUCUGACUCGCCGAGCAUUUGAUUGUCUUUACUACUCCUUUGAAGGUUAGGCCAUGGGUGACAACGGAGGAAAGCAAAGAAUGUCGGCCACGCGAAUUAUAAUCCUCUGUUCUAGUUAUACAGUCCGGUGUCGGCCAACAUAUACACACAUAUAUAUAUAUAUAUAUAUAUAUAUAUAUAUAUAUAUAUAUAUAUAUAUAUAAAGAAGGCCAAUUACGUAAACCUCCGGCCACUAGUCCUUUGAAUUAGUGAUCACCGCCAACACUUAAAUUUUGAUGGCGUUAAGAGAUCGAGAAUUCAACCAUUACAGCAUAUCAAAUCAUCAUUACACGCGACCGUCUUCCGUAACUUUCUUCGAUGAAGUUUCUAUUCCCUUUCUUUAGAUUAAAAUAAAUUAGAUUAUAAAAAUAUUAAAAAGAAAAUUACAUAAACCUCCGUCUCACUUAAUACUCAAGUUUCCCUUUCUUUUCGUUUGCUCUGACUUAAACUGCCGAUUUCCUAAACGCAAUCGCAAAUGAAUGAAAAUCUCCUCCCCUUUUCGUGUGGGGGCUGUAAAAAAAGCCUCUUUCCAAGAAUUAAAUACAAAUUUGUUACAAGCUUUCGAAGCCAGUGGCAUGAUUUCAAGAAUUAAAUACGAAAAGGGACUUUCUUUUUUUUUUCUUCUUCUUUUGCAAAAAAAAAAAAAAAAAAUCAAAUGGUUUCUUUCAAUUAGAUACUUGAUGAUAUCCGCUAUCAUAUUUGCCCAUUGCCCCCGUUCACAAAAUUAAGAGGCCAAGCUAUGCUUUUGAAGCUAAUGGAAUGAAAAACACCAUCCACACUGUGUUGCUUGCUACUUGCCAAUGCACCACCGCCACCAAGAAUCAACGGCCUACAGCCUACUAGUCAAUGAAGACGGAUCACGCUAUGUGCCCCCAUAAUUAACAACCUUGCAGGCAACAAGAGGACCACAAAUAAAUGCAUGUGCUGCGGUGCAACCAUGCUCGAACGCCUUACUUUUUCUUUCAACAGCAGCAAGAAACACACACACACACUAACCUAAAGCUAAUCCAUAGCACUACCCAAAAGGCUAACUUUUGGAUAGCACUGAGGCCCUUAAGUAGUGAAUACACACAUCACUCACAACCGAUGUGGGAUAGGGAGUUGGGGGAAAGGGAACACCGACUCUAUUGGGAAACCCUCAGUAGCUUUUACCUCUCCUGUUUUUCUUUUUCUUUCAACAGCAGCAAGAAACACACACACACUAACCUAAAGCUAAUCCACAGCACUACCCAAAAGGCUAACUUUUGGAUAGCACUGAGGCCCUUAAGUAGUGAAUACAUACAUCACUCACAACCGAUGUGGGAUAGGGAGUUGGGGGAAAGGGAACACCAACUCUAUUGGGAAACCCUUAGCUCGAACGCCUUACUUGAUGUCUAAUUUAUAUAUCCUUUUCUUUUUUUUGGGUGUCAGGGGGACUUUUUAUGAGAUACUCUUAAUUAGAGGUGUCAAAAUAGAUGAUUUGGACGGUCGGAUUUGGAUUGGUUAAAAUGGAUAAUAGGUAUAAGUGAGUCAAUUCAUUUAUACCAAUUUAAUUAGAUGGGUAUAAAUGGAUAAGUCAAAAAAUGAAAUGGAUAACCCAAUUACCCAUUUAUAACCUAUUUAUUUUAAUAUUUUGUAAAUUCAUUUAAAUUCAUUUUUACAAACUAAGUUAUUAAUGUAUACCACUCUUUACACCAAUCAUUAAUUUUAAAUAUUUACUUAAAAUUCUCAAUAAGCCUAAUUACCAAUUUUUUUCCAUCUCUAUCCAGAGUUUUGGUUCCUGGCAGUUGUUAUGGGGAUAAGACAUUAAUGAUUUCACCAAUCUUAUUAUGUUUUCAUCGUCAGCAGGAAAGUCGCUGUCUUUGUACGAUACCCCUCGUCGUCACAACAUCACUAUAUAUAUAGCGUCAGCUUCUACGACUCAUGCAUCAUGGAUCUGCAGGCCUCAACAUACGGAAGUUUCUGUGUAUAAUUCUGCUGGUUGAUUAACAUAUUAUGUAAUUAAGGUGGCAUUGCUAACUUUCAAGCUUUUUAUUUGUUACAGAAAAAAAUCCCUUUCCUUGUUCGCAAAAUUCAAUUCGGUUAGAAUGAACAUUAAACAAGUAAUCAUGAGACCUCUGAUUCAACUCUUCAAUUUUUCACUUUCUUUGCUCCCCUUAUAAGGUUUAAAAUUUUCCUAAAACAACAACGACAACAAUAAUAGGAGUAGUGAAUGACCCCUUUUCUUCCUGGAUGACAAUACUGCAAAUUCUUGCACUAAAGGAAUUUUUGCCGAUGCCUCGAAGGAAUUACUUGCUCAUAAUGGGACCAAUCAUCUUGGAAUCAUUAGGCACUAUAAUAUGACUUCUUUGAAAGUGUAGCAACUUAAUUACGACUUCUUCAAAUAUAGCUAUCGACUGGCCUUUGAUGAAUUCGUGUUGGAGCUGUCGCAGUAGCAAGGAUUCUUAAAAAGUUUCACUACUUUGAUUGGCCCAAAAAAAAAAAAAUAUAUAUAUAUAUAUAUACACACACACACACGACUCAUAUUACAAUUUGGAUGCAAAGCUAUCUUUUUGACUAUCUUUAAACAACUUGGCAGCUUAUGUUAAGUCUGAGAUCACAACUCUGUCAUAUGUUUAGGGCCAUUUAGAAUGCUAUUUUUUGAAGUUUUUAUUGAAAAUUGUAGUAUGGCGAUUUGAUGUAUGUCAAUGACUGAGCCAAGGGGGGCCGAGGGAGUCAUAGUCCUUUCUAAGUUUUGAAAAUUUUAAUGCGUAAUAUGGAAAUAUAUGUGUAAAACAAAGUUGACCCUCUUAAUUUUUUACAAUGUUAGUUUAUAUUAUGAAAUUUCAAAAGCCUAAAUAUAUGAUUUGAUGAUAUAGUAAAUUGACCUAUUUUGAUAUAUUAUAAUAAAGCGACCUAAUACAUAAUUAUCAAUGGGUUAAAACAAAAAUAAUUACUUUAUUGGCGCAUAUAUAAAUAUACAAUUUAAUCCAAUUGAUUAGAUUUGUUCCCACUCAUCUUCCUGUAUCAACUGCAACUACAGAAUGGGUAUUUCUGAUUAUGAAGAUAAUCAAGACAAAAGCUCCGAAAUAAGCUCAAAGAUAAUUUAUUGAAAGAUUGGCUAACUGUGUACAUAGAAAAGAAAGUUGUUGAAAAAUUUAGUAUUGAUUUAAUCAUAGAUGAAUUUAGUUCUAUGAAAGAAUGUAAAUCUCAUUUUACUUUUAAGAAAAGAGGUUCAAAUUUCAAGGUAUGUGAACAUAACAGCUAUCUUUUUUUAAUUGAAAAUAGUCAUUUUGAUAUUACAUAGUUAUAUAUAUAUAUAUAUAUAUAUAUAUAUAUAUAUAUAUAUAUAUAUAUUGCACAUAUUGGAGCAUCUUAUCAUAAUGUGUAACUUGGGUAGUUUGUGAUGUUAUAAAAUAUUUAAUCAAAGGUUAUUUCUUGUCUUAAUUUUUGUUAUGACUAUGCUGUGUAUUAUAAAAUAGAAAUACCUUUAUAAUUAAUGUUAACAUUUGAUGUUUUUAGAUGUCAUAUAUUUGAAUAGAUGAAAAUUAUUUUGAUUUUUAGAUGUCAUAUAUUUAAAUAGAUGAAAAUUAUUUUGAACAUAACAUAUUAAGAUAAUUUUGUUAGGAAAAAUUUUGGCCCCCUAGAAAAAAAGUUUUGGCUCCGUCACUGUUGCAAGGGAAGUAAAAAAGUGAGUGAAAAAAGUUUAAAAAAAAUGCCUUCAAUUGCGGAUUGAAUACGGAAGUUUCCUAGGAAUUACGCUGAGGUAACAGAACCCUUCCCUAGCUUUAGUUUCCUUUUAGCACAAGUUUUCUUGGCUCGAAUGAAAAUUUGACUUGUUUUCCACCUAUGCUUAUCAUGUCAAUGCAUACUGUUGUCUCAUCCAAAUUUGCUUCAUCUCAUGUUAAUUUCAAGGGAUAAUUUCAGAAACCUCUCCUGAGGUUUCUUGAAAUAUCACUAAGCUCCCCUCACAUUUUGAAAAUCUCUCUUACCACCUUUGAUUGAUUGCGGGGUCAGAAGUCACACUGAAAAUUCAUCAGUUACCAAUAAUACCCUUGUAUUUGAUGUGCUCUUAUGCAUCAGUCACACUAUUAUUUGUACCUGUGCCAAGUACUUAUAUGCAUUCCCAGUCCCAAUGAACGACUAAGGGUCCGUUUGUUUCGGGUGAAAAUGUUUUCCAGGAAAAUAUUUUCCUAAUUUCCCGUGUUUGGUUGCACAAAAGUUACUGAAAACAUUUUCCUAUGUAAAAUAUUUUCAUUCAUCUUAUGGAAAACAACUUCCCUUCCCAACUUCCUGAAGUUGUUUUCCGAAAUGCAUGCAUCUUGCCUGUAGUAUGUUCCAAACUUACUGAAAUCAUCUUGCAGUAUGUUCUUUUUUUUUUUUAGUGUAAACAGGAAGACUCGAACCCAAGACCUCUUCCUUACACUCCCUCCCCCGUACCACCCAACCCUCCCCCUAGUAUAUUCAAAAUAAAAAAAAAACCUCAUCCUGCUCAUCCUAUGCUAGUAAUUAAUUAUGUAUAAUAGGGACAUUCUUUUCUAGAGAAACUUUCAGCAGUGAGAGUGCAAGAUAUAUGUCACAAUAAGCAUUGCAUGUGAUUGAUAUUUGACACUAAAUGACCAGCAAUUUAUUUAUUUGCUUAAGGAGAUAUUUUUUAUUCAUAUAUACCUUUCUCCAAGAUUUUUUAAAGUUAAACAAUGAGAUAAAUUUUCUUAUUUUGCAUGGGAAGAAGUAUGUAGUUAUAAUGUGUAGAAAGUAAAAAUAGAGAUAAAAGUGAAAAUAUUUCAAAAGUUAAACAAACACCAGAAAAAUGAAGUAAGAAAAUAUUUUCAAUAAGCUAACCAAACGCCUGAAAAUGAUGAAAGGGAAAUGAUUUUCAUGGAAAAUUACUUCCACGGAAAAUAUUUUCCCAAGGAAAACAUUUUACUUCCAACCAAACAGACCCUAAAAGACAUAUGUUUUGGUACUUGCUUGGGAAUUGCAAUUUACUCUUGCCAAGUAUGCUAUGCUUCUAUCCACAGAUCUUGGAACAUGAUGACUUACUACCAUGAUUUGUAUGGAAUUUGCUAACUCGAACCGGAAUGCUGUGCUUUUUGUCAACUCUAUGACUCGGAUUCCUUACCAUUAUGUAUGGAAUUUUAGUUGUUGUUUUCCAAUGAACUUAGCAGUAAAAUAUUGUUGUACUUGAGGAAAAUACCACCUGUGUGCUUUAUGAAGUUUUCUGUAAUGCAAAAAAUCUGGGGGGCAUUGGUAUGAACUAUGAAGUAACAAAUCUCGCAGCUUCAUUGAUUGGAAGACUGCUGAGCUAAUUAGGCAUAUUGUUAGGUAAUCCUUAAAAUUUCGAAUUUAGGGUUCAUGAAAUGGAUGCAUUUAAUUAAGUAACUAAUUAAACUAAUUAAAUUACCUGCGAGUAUUACUUUCACAUAAUUAAUUUAUGUUAAAUACAAAACCUACCAGUUUCCCUUUUGUAAAAAUAUGAAUGUAAUACUUUUUGAAUUUUACUUACAACCAUUUCUAUAUUUAAUAUAAAUUAAAUGAUUUAGAGUAAAAUGUUCAUAAAUAGUUAUUACUUUGUUCGUGUAAUAGAGGAAACCCGUGAAGAGCUGACAUGUCAUGGGCAAUUUCUUUUUUUUUUUUUACUUUCACGUAUUUAAUUUAUGUUAAAUACAAAACCUACUAGUUUUCCUUUCGUAAAAAUAUUAGUAUAUCACUUUUUAAAUUUUACUUACAAACAUUUAUGUAUUUAACAUAAAUUAUAUGAUUCAGAGUAAAAUGCCUAUAAAUAACUAGUACUUUAUUCAUCUAAUAGAAGAAACCCGUAAAGAGCUAGUAAAAAGUGGGUAAUUUCUUUUUUUGCUUUCACGUAUUUAAUUUAUGUUAAAUACAAAACCUACUAGUUUCCUUUUCAUAAUAAUAUCAGUGUAACACUUUUUGAAUUUCACUUAUAAACAUUAAUGUAUUUAAUAUAAAUUAAAUGAUUCAAAGUAAAAUGCUCAUAAAUAGCUAAUACUUUAUUCAUAUAAUGGAAGAAACUUAUAAAGAAUUGGUAUGUUAUGGACAAUUUUUUUUUACUUUCAAAUACUUCAUUUAUAUUAAAUAGCCAACAUGCUAGUUUUCCUUUCAUAAAAAUAUUUGUGUAACGGCUUUUGAAUUUUAUUUGCAAAUAUUUAUGUAUUUAACAUAAAUUAAAUGAUUCAGAAUAAAAUGUCCAUAAAAACUUGGUACUUGGUUCAUGUAAUAGAGAAAAGCCAUAAAGAGUUAGUACUUUAUGGGAUAUUUCUUUUUUAAAAAAAAUUUAAUUUAUGUUAAAUAGAUAACCUACUAGUUUUUUUUCAUAAAUAUUUAAUUUAUGUUAAAUAGCGUAUUUUCGAAAUGUGUUUUUUUGGUGACAUCAAAAAAUGCAUUCUACUAAUGCGUUAUUUAACCAAUUUUUCCUAUUUAAAUAAAUUUAUGAAAAUUAAAAUAAUGUAUUUGAAAAUUACAUUUUUAUUUGGAAGAACGCAUUCUUUGGAUACAUUUUUCACCCUUUGGAAAGAGAUUAAAAAAUCGCCACCCUUUGGGAAGUUAGUUUGAAAACUCCCUCUUUUUGGGAAUUUACUCCUCCAUCUGCCUUACUUUUCUAGCGGACACCCUCACCUUUUAAUACCGCUGGAAGCACUCAAAGUAGCCGUUGCAUGUCCAACGGUCAUGCAACAGUGCUCAUGCCCGAAAAAUACUCUCCAAUUCACAUUUUCCACCUACUGCAACUUUCUUAUGUCAUUGCUAUCAGUCAAACUAAGGGUAUGAAGGGAACUAAAAUACUCUCCCUCCUCCAAAAUGCAUUUUCUAUUGUUACUUUUGCUUAGAGGGGCUAACAUUGUUAAAAAAAUGUCAAUUCAGAGGGUGGUAAGAGAGAUUUCCAAAAUGUGGGGGGAGCUUAGUGAUAUGUCAAGAAACUUCAGGGGAGCUUUCUGAAAUUAUCCCUAAUUUCAAUUCAUCUACGGUCUCAAUACAAAAAAAAUAUAAUUCUACAUAAAGUGUAGGAUCAUUUCGUACUGAAUUUCCAGCAAAUUUGUUCGAGAAAAACCUAGCUGGGGAAAUUUACAUGCUUCUCAUUCUUAAAGGUUAACAACAUAAUUAGUUCUUGAGAAAAAAAGAACAAAUCUUGAAAGUUGUUUAGCCCAAUUAUACACAGUUUCCCUGUUCUUUUAUCUCCCUUAACAUAUACUACUAGCAUACAUAAAUUGCAUAGCCAGUUUAACUUAGUAAUGGAACUUCAAUUUGCCCAUUAUAAGUUUUAAUUUUGGAUCAAUCUUUCCAACACUGUCAACGUAUACACUAACAGAUUUAGAUACAUGUCACAUUAUCUCAAUUGAAUUUAUAUAUGUAGCAUGCAUCUAAAUCUGCUAAGAUAAUAUUCACCGUGUACAAAACAUUUAUCCUUUAAUUUUUCCAUUUUUGUCUUAAAGUUGUUGUUCCUUGAAAUUCUGUAAUCGCGUGGUGGCUACCUCUUCUUCGCUACAUAUCAAUGGGCUUGGGUUUGAGAAACAUCUCAGUCUUUAGACGUCCAAAAUGAUUUGUCCAAGUCAUUGAACCACGUUGGGCCCAAAUUCGUCAAUUUGACUUAUGGAUAUUUGCAGAAAAUCAUUAGUUUGCUUAUGAAUAUUGCGAAUAGCUCAAGAAGUAAGAAUUUGUAAUAUGUAUCCCAAUGUUAUAUUAUAGUGGAGUCUAAUCAUUUUCUAAACUAACAAAUCAGCAUAAACUACUACGAAACUUUGUGAUAUUGCAACUUGCCUGCUGUUUUCCUAAUAACAAUAGUAGAAGUUGUUUGAUUUAUUGGUAAGUGUAAAUAUUGAACUCUGCAAGAAUUUACUACAAAAAGUACAUUACAGAAGCAAACUACAGAAGAUAUUAAAACGAAACUUUGAGCACACUACUCCAUUUUACAUGCAUUUGAAGCUGUUGUUUUUUUGGAAAAAAAAAAAAGCUUAUAAGAGACUUGUAUUGAAUCUUAAAAUGAGUUUAUGCUAUUCAUUCAUCAAAUCACUAUUUACAAGCAGCAAACUAACAAAAUAUCCGGCUAACAAUUAUCCUAAAAAUCUUAACAAAAACUACGUACUUGAUAACAAAUCAAUAUGAUUUUUUGGUUAACAAAUAUUCUUAUUCUUCUGCUAGUAAAAUCUAUAGGAAAAGUUGACAUACUUCAACAGAAUUUCUUCCACUUGAGAUAGCUGAACACUGGCCUGUCCGGAACAGGGAUGCACUUAACAAUCCAGCCAAUUGGCCAGGAUGCAGCUGCAAUUCCUAUACAAGCUCCCCAUUGCCCCCAAUUCAACCUCUCUGUAUUAGCAAAUCUCUUCAAAAAUUCCACCAUCACCACUUGAAGAAUAAUUGUUACUCCAAUAAUUCCCAAGAACAACUUGUUCCUGUGUAUCCCCUCAAACACAUUCUUACUCUCAAGUUUCCUUGCGUUGAACUCAUUGAACACUUGGCAAAGAACAAAAGUGUUGAAGAUCAACGUAGCGUUUACCUUUUCGCUAACACCAAAGAUUGAUUUUCCUUUGAACUGUAAUGUCAGCAAAACUGCUAUCUGAUACAAGGCUUGAGACAUUAAGUUCCUCCACAUGAUGUUGGUGAUGAGGGGUUCAGUACGCCCCACUGGAGGCUUGUCCAUGAGAUCCUUUGUUGGUCUCUCUGUUGCUAGUGCUAAGGCUCCAAGAGUAUCCAUGAUGAGAUUUACCCACAAGAGUUGAACUGCUGUUAAUGGUACUUCUCCAGCUGAAAUUGCUGCUACAAAGUUGAUCACUAGAGCUGCCACAUUCACUGUGAGUUGGAACUGAAUAAAUUUCUGGAUAUUGCUGUACACACAUCUUCCCCAUGUAAGCACUGUGGCAACAGAAGCAAAAUUGUCAUCCAAAAUGACAAUAUCUGAACUCUCCUUGGCUACUUCAGUGCCCUGAAUCCCCAUAGAAAGUCCUAUAUCAGCUUCUUUCAAUGCUGGCGCGUCGUUUGUUCCAUCUCCAGUCACCGCUACAACAUGACCUUUCUCUUUUAAGCAUUUCACCAUGAGAUGCUUGUCAAAAGGAGACGAUCUCGCCAUUACAACAAUUUUAUCAACUUUUUCCAUCCGUUCCUCAUCUGUGUAGUUGCGAAAUUCAACACCCUCUACCACCAAUUCAUCGUUAGCCUCAAGAUCGGGCUUAAGUAUUCCACAUUCAGUGGCUAUUGCUCUUGCAGUGAAGACAUUGUCGCCAGUGAUCAUUUUGAUCUUCACACCAGAGUAUUGACAAUCUUCCACAGCUUUCUUCACACCGGGGCGACAGGGAUCUUUUAGGCCUACAAUCCCCAAAAGGAUCAAGUUUCUGUCUUCUAAUGUUUGCUGUAUUUUUCCACUGGCAUCAUCGGCUUCUGUUAUUUGCUUGUGAGCAAAUGCAAUGCAUCUGAGACUGCUGGCAGCCAUGCCCUGUAUUAUUUCUUCAAAUUUCUUCCUCUCAAGAUGAUCAAGUAAUGUGACUUCUCCUUCAAGAUUGUAGUAAUGCGAGCACAUUGCUAGUAUCAUUUCAGCAGCUCCUUUCCAGUGGACAUGAGUCGAGUUAUCCACCAUUUUCUUCAUCAACACUCCACUUCUUUUCUUCUGUGAAUUGAAUGCUUCGACAUGAAGAAUGGAGCAAUUUUGUUUUACUCGUUCCAUGUCCAUAUUUAAUUCCAUCACAGCCCAAGACAGAAUUGCUUUCUCAGUAGGACUUCCUGAGAACUCGAGGCCCUUUGUUCCUAAAUUAAUCGACCUAUAAACACUUCCUGUUGUGUUUAGGCUCACAGCUUCACGAAGCAAUUUAAGAACAUUGGUUGAGAUAGAAAGGUAGCUAUCUUUCUCUACUGAUUCCUUGCCCAGCCAAAAUUUUGUUACUGUCAUUCUAUUUAGAGUAAGAGUACCUGUUUUGUCUGUACAGAUGGUUGUAGCAGAGCCCAUUGUUUCACAAGCAGAAAGCUUUCUCACCAUUGCUUGAUCAGCCAUCAUUCUCUUCAUCGAGUAAGCAAGUGUAAGUGUUACAGCCAGAGGCAAACCUUCUGGAAUUGCAACAACUACAAUUGUUACGGCUGCAGCAAUAAUUUUCACCACAGCAUUGAUCACAUCAUCAGCCUUUGUUUUGCUGCCAUUGUACUCCUUGAUUCCAUUUGCGUCCUUUGUAUGACCAGUGAAGUAGCGAACUAAUAGCACCAAAAGAACUAAGAAAGCAACUGCUAAACCAACUUUACCAAUUGCUGAAGUUAGCUUAUUGAGGCGCGAUUGAAGAGGAGUUUUCUCAUUGGAGUCCUGGCUAACAGAGCUCAUCAUUUCCCCCCAAGUUGUGUUCAUUCCAACAGAAGUAACAAGCAUCUGACCAUAUCCAUCGGCUACUUUGGUACCAGAAGUCAAGAAUGGAUUCUGGUUUUGAUUAACUUCUAGAUGAUCACUUUCUCCAGUCAUGCUUGAUUCAUCAAUGCGUAAGGAAUGCCCCUCCAAGAAUAAUCCAUCAGCAGGUACCUGAUCACCAAUCUUCAAGCGAACAACGUCUCCGACAACAAUUUCAAAGAUUGAAAUUUGCUGUCUCCUGCCAUUUCUCACAACUUCAACUGGGAUAUUGCUGCUGACCUUGGAAAGCUUCUCAAAUUGCCGGCUCUGCCUAAAAUUACUGAUAGCUGAAACAGAAAUGACAAGAAAAACAGCAACAAAUAUACUUCCACCAUCAUACCAUCCUUCUUUUGGACCAUUCUCUUUUAUGCCAAAACUAAGUGAUAAUGCAGCACAUGCCAAAAGAAUGGCAAUUGUAGGAUCUUGAAAAGCUUCCCAAACAAAAUGGAAGAAUCCCUUUUUGGGAGGCUUACGAUAUGUGUUGCUACCAAAGGCUUCAAUUCUGCGUAAAAUAUCUUCGGCAUCAUGACCAUUUAAUCCAUGCUGAACUUCAGUAUUGAGAGAAGUAGCUAUACCUUGAAUACCACCUAAUUGGUCAAGCUGACCAAGGCUUUUCUCCUUGACAAGCUUUGUUAGAGUUGUCUGAUCAACCUUGCAAGGGCAGGGAUGAACUUCGGCAAUAUCGAUAGUAACCGUGUCUGAAGGUACUGGUAAAAUCUUGCUCUUUCUACGACUUGGAACAUUUUUGAAGGCCCUUGAACAACAUAUGGUCAGAAAAGCAGAGCCCCAUUUCUUUUUGGUAUUGUUCAGUUUACUAAGGUGCACAACCAGGUUAAUGCAGGACAAAUUUGCAUCAACUAUUGAAGGCAUAAUUUCGAAAGCCAAUGAUAGCUGCUAAGUAAAAGAAUGUUGAGAUUUUCUAUCUCACACAAGAUAAAAGGAGAGCCAAUGUACAAAGUAUAAAUGUAGGCAAGAUAAAAGCUCACUGUAGGUUCACGAUUUCAACCAAUUUGACCGACUGCAUGAAAAGAUUUUAGAAAAACUGUUGCAUGAGUUGGUUGAUGCAAUAUUCGGUGGCUGCCUCUAUUUAUAUUGCAUAUUAUGCAUGAAGCAUCUGGUACGACGUUUCUUUCUUGUCCGAAGGUCUAAUCCAUGGGGCCUAGCAAACAAAUAGUUCAAAUGUAAUGAGCAUAAUUGACUUUAAAAGUGAAAGAAAAGGAAGAUGAGGAAAACUGAAAAGAGCUGGAAUUUACUGGUAAUAAUUCCAAAUAGUGGUUGUGUUUAUUCUAGGGAAUUUAUGCAAAAUGUCUAAGAAAUAUUCCACGUUAAGAAUGCGAGGAUAAGAAUAAUAGAAUGAGAACAUUGCAAGGGAAAACUCAAUGAACAAGUCUGAAAAGUACUAGGAAAUGCACCGCCACUGGCUUGGGGCGCGUGCGGUUGUAAUGUGUUCGAAGUUACUUAACCUAAAGCAUAAUUGACAAAGUCAAAGAAGCGAGUGUACGCGCCAACGCGGCAGAGCGAGUUUCUGUUUCUGCCCGGCUGUGUUUGGAUAGCCAAAUAAUGAUAAGAAAUUAUUUGCUUACAUUAUAGAUAUAAUUUUUAACAUAUCUUUUUAUCUUCUUAAUUAUUAUUUUUUAUUUUAUAUACAUCAUAUCACAAAAAAUGCUACAGUAAUUAUUUUAAAUAAUAUUUUAUUCAAACGCAUUAUUCAUUUAUUUAUUUAAUUUUUUUUUCUUGUUUGGGAGAUAAUUUUCCUUAGGAGGUCUCUUAAAAAGAUUGAACAAGCGAGUAAUCAUUGACAAAAAUCACCCUUCAAUUAAAUUUAUUAUUCUCAUAUAAAACUUAACGUAUCAUUUACUUUUUGGUUUGGGGUCUUAAUGCUUUUUGUUGGAAAUUGCUUAGAAGAAGCAUUUAGACCCCAAACCAAGAAGUGCCAUCAGCGUGUCCUAGAUUUACCCCCGUCAGUUUUACAUGUACCUAAUUUAAAUACCUUUCUAACCUAAUUUUACCUUUAAAAAAUAAAUUAACACUGGAGCCACUUUCAAAUGAGUGGGACACAAUAAGACAACCACCAAUCGAGCAAGAAGCAUUCGGACACCGCACCAUUAGCGUGUCUUAGUCUCUUAGGAAUAUAAACAUUAAACCAGCAGGAUAGAUUGAUUUCCCACAUCAGUUUUGCAUGUCGGGAAUGUUGCCAGAUUUUCAUGUCUUACCAAUCGAGCAGAAGUUUUGGAUUUUGCACACCCCUACAGGCUACAGGGUAGAUUUACCACGUCAGUUUUACAUAUCGGCCGUUGCCAGAAGUUGGCCAACUCAGGGCCUUUCUGGCAGAUGUUGUUUACCUAUUACCGACAUCUGCAUUAACUAAAACUCCCAACUUUCUCAUUGAUCCCAAUUUGUUUACAAAUGUAACGUCUUUAGAUCUUCUAAGCUUUUGAGUCAUAACAAUGGUUAGUCAAUAGUUCCCAUGCAAACUAUUUGAAGCCUGUUGUCAUUUUCACUGGCAUAUAGUCAUAAAAUGCUCCAAAAAGUCAAUUAUUUUGGCCUCUUAAUUCAGAAGCUAAUCUCAUGUACCUUCCGAUGUAAAUUAACUAGUGAAGAUUCUAACCACCAACAAGAAUUUAUACUAGUUGGAAAUGACCUGGGAAACUUCAGCCUUCUUACCAUGCAUUUAUAUGUGUGCUCAUUGAGAAGAAUCAAGUGGCAAAUGUUAUGCUUCUUCCAGGGGAUCAUUUGGAGUGUCAGCACUGAGGAUAAGAUCGGGACCAUUUGAUUGACUUCUGGUUUGAGUUGGCUUCACUCCUCCGAAAUGCCAUGAAAAGACCGAGGAAUAUUAAAAGACCAUACUAGGUUGUUGUUAGAACAUUCGUAUGCCCACUAGGGCUGCAAAUGUGUCAAAUUUAAGUAAAUAUUAUCACAGUUUGAACUUGAGUUCGAAUCUAAUCAAGAUUAAAGAAAAAGAAAAAAAUACUUUUUUUUUUUUUAACAUUAGUAAAAUAAACAUUUUAUUUGGGAAAUAAUAAUGGUACGAAAAACCUACAUGUAAUUUCACUAUUAAUUAAAAAAAGUUUUAUUUAACAUAUGGUACAGUACAGAACUGGCUUGACAAGCCAAUGGACAAAGCGUCCCUACACUUGGAGCCGGACUCAGACGAACUUGUUAAGUCAAUUUGAGUUCAAGCUUUGACUAAGUCGGUUCCCGGUAACUCAAUUUGCUCGCAACCUCGUAUACGUCCAUAGAAUUGGAAAGGGACAUUCUUGUAAUGCAAUGUCCUUGAGUCAACAAUUUUUGGUUUCUUGAAAACUCACUUGCCAGUUCCCAGUAACUCAGUUCUUUUUUUAAUGAACCUUGUAUAUGUUUACAGAAUUCAAAAGGGCCAUUCUUGUAAAGAAAAGUCCCGAGUCAACAAUUUUUGAGUUUCUUGCAAACUCACUUGCAAAUUCCAAAGAGACUCUCUGAGAGUGCUGAUGGUUGUGGAUAUAAAAUAUAUAGCAGACGCAAGUAAAGAUGAUGUAAAGGGUAGGACGUAGUUUGAGUGUUUCAGCAUCCCGUAAGCUGCUCCUGCGAAGACUUUUGAGCAGGUAAUUCGCAUCAGCAUGGCGACGUAAGCACUUCGCCAAAUGAGUAGAGAAAUUUUGGGUGUAAGACUUGGUAAGAGGUAUAUAAGGUCACAGGCUCGCAGGUCUUUCUACCCGAGAGCCAAGAUUAGUGAAAAGGCAGUGUUAACUGCUAAGAUUGUCCAUUAAUGAACGAUGCAAUUUUGCCCUCUUUUUACUCAUCACUAAAACGGGAACGGGUCUGCAAGACUCUCAAAUAUAACAUGGGGCUUUGUCCAAGGGGCAAAAAAUGUAAAGAAAAUAUGCAAUUAUAUCAAGGGUAUUUAUACAAAAUUUUUUGACAACAUGUAUAAUUAGAUGUACACAAAAAAAAAAAAAAUUAGUGGAGGAGCCGAUAUAAAUGUACUCUCAAAUGUACAAAAUUGCAUUGUUAAUUAAUCAUUCUAGUGCGCCCUUUUCACACAUUUUCCAAUGUAAUAAGUUAAAUCAUCACCAAAAGAUGCUAUGAAACUACGAAAUAAGUUUUAUUGGUUGUACGAGACAAUUGUAUGAAAGUGAAGAGAAACUUUGAAGAAAAAAAUGUCUGAUUUCUUAAAGUUUUAUAAAAGGUCGUGCAAGUGGCUUGCAAAAUCUAUGUCUAGGAAAAAAGAUCCACUUUCCGCGCUUUGUUGAAGUAUUUCCCUCAACUUCUUUUUUUUUUUUUUCAUUAUUUUUGUUGGAACAAUCGUUUGAAUCAUUCACUAUACAAGGAAAUCAACAUCUUGGAGCUCUGCAAGUACUCUUAGAUUUCCAUACCGGAUGGCAUUAGCCAGCAAGUCCCGGGGAUUGCCUUCCAAAUGAUUUCUCACGAAAGCAACUACAAUUCCACCAACAUAUCUUAUCAUGGGUUCUCUGGACAUCCCUUGUUACACAGGCAAUAUAUGGACUUCAUUCGAAUCCCUGGAGCGCCAUCAUCUAGCAUGUCAAAUAACAGACAACCAAUGGGUUAUCCGUUGGAGUUUGAUAUUGAUUGGUGAUGGAUAAUUCAAUGGGAUUUAAUAAGAAGAUCAUAAAAAUCCAAAACUACUAUAUAUAUAUGGACAAUGCUAUAGUGCCUAUAGUUAUGGUAACGAUAUUAGGGAAACCUACUAUUAUAAGUUUCUAUUACCUUUAGUGACAGAUCAAAAUUUUUAGCGACUUUUUUAAAUAUUAUAUUAAAAUAAUUAAUAUUAACUUUAGUAAGUUUUUAAUUAAAACUCGUAAGUAUAUGCCUGAAAGAUAAGUUUCAGUUAGAAAUAUAAAUUUACACUUUGAGUAAUUUAAUUUACUUAUUAUUUGACAAAAUUUACUUUUUUUUGAAAUUAAGCUUACUAAUACUAAAAGUAAAAAAUUUACAUAUUUAAGUAAAAAAAUCACCGGUUUCUGAAAAUGGUUUUGGGUUAUCACAUAUCUCUAAAGUUGCUUGCCUUCUUUUUAUUUUCUUCUCACCUCACGAUAUGAUGGAAUAGAAAUUUUUUCCUGGCAAGAUUACGACAGUUCUGAUCGAGAAUCGCUGGACGGAUUCAAGAACGAAGAUUCUGACUCCCACUGGAUGCCGUUUAAAGGCCUUUCCAGCAAGGUAUAGUUGCAAACAAAAUGAUUUGUGUUUUUGUUAUUCCACUGAAAAUUGAAUAUUCUUCUACAUAUUCGUUGUUCCUUUUUGUUUUUGUUUUGAUUUUAUCGUAGUUUUAGAUGACAAUGAAGGAGAGGCUUUUGCUGGUGAAUUGAAAAUUGUAUCCUUUUGUAUUUUGUGCAUCUUCUGUUCCUUCUUAUUUAAGUUUUAUACAUCUUCUGGCAAUGACUCCCACUGGAUGCCGUUUAAAGGCCCUUCCAGCAAGGUAUAGUUGCAAACAAAAUGAUGGUAGUAGUAUGUCGUUGUUUAUGUGAAAAGUGGUUAAUUUGGGAAUGCAUAUAAGGUGUUUGGUGAAAUGUUCAAAAGAAAUUUGUAUGAUACGAUUGAUGCUUGUACGGGGUUAGAAAGCACCGAACAACUUGAUUAAAACCACAGUUGACGAAUUUCAAUUACGCCGGCCAACUUGUACUAGGAAACAAAAAUGUCAAAUGCACUUCAUCAUUUAUUGGUAAGAAUUGAUACUUUAAUUUUACAAUAAGUUUGGUUAAACUAUAAAGGAGGUAAAUGUAAUUAAACCCCAAAAGUAUUAACCGCUCCUUCUUUUUAUUCUUUUAUUUUUUUAUUUUUUAAUAACUUAGUUUCAGUCUUGUGCUCUGCAACUUUUUGCUUGCAUGAUUUAAAUCAGAAAGAGUAAAUCCAAAUAAUCAAAUGUUAUGGAGUUCUCUUUACGUAGUGAUUACUUAUGAAGCUUAUUUACCAGUUGGAAAUGUUAUUUGCUCUUCUUGAAACUGCAGUUUCUAUGAUUUGAAGUGGUUUCAAUCUUUUCUCUGCCUGUACCUGUUCCAAAAUGGAAUGGUUUUUUAAAGUUAUGUUCUUGUAGUUAAAUCACAUGUCUUACAUAUUUUUAUUGCUUGAAUGGCUGUGCUGUAAUGCGUUUGUAAGAAUCCAUUCUGUACAUAAAGAAGCAACGUUGUACAGGAUGAAGGCUUCAUCAAUUAAGCUUUGCCUUUGAUCAAUUUAAUAUCUCGUAUAUGUGUGAGAAUAAAUUAGUAUACAAUAAAUUCGAGCGUGAACUAUAUUUGGGAACUUUGGAAUUUCCCUGGUUUGAAAAACCAGCCAAACAAUGUAUUUCAAUUGAUCAUAAUUCCAAAUCCAUUCAACUGAAUGAUUUAUUGAAUUCAAAUCCACCGACCCAAACAAAGUAAUGUAUUUGUCAAAUGCAACAAGCAUUUUAACUUCGAACCAUGCAGUGUUUUCAUUAGGCAUACAAAAGUUUGAUUUUAUGCAUAAUUUAAGAGGACAAGUUGAUUGCACUAAUUUGUUCAGUAAUUUCUAUUUCUUCAAGACUAAAAGAAAAAAUCAGAUGAUAAAACUAUUAAAUAAAUUAUUUAAACCUAUGGAUGCAUCCUUCAACUAUGAACCAAAUUUCCACUUUGAUUUUUGAAUUUCAAGAUAGGACCCUUUAAUUCCUAAAGUAUAAAUCUGGUCCCAUCUUAGUUCCUAAGAUAUACAAUCUGUCUUACUUUAGAAAGUACAAAAUUUCUUCUACCUAAGUAUAAAACUUGUCUCACUACCGUCUCGAAAGGGGUAAAUUUUAUAUGUAGAGACUAAAGUGUCUUAUUUUAAGUUUAGAAAUUAGAGUAGCAAUCUAAGUAUGGUUGAAAGUACAAAGUGCCAUUAGCCGUAUGAAACAAAAAGAAAUAGGCAAACAAUUAGAUGUACAUGAGUACUACUUUUACUCCUGAUGUGCCCUUAGAUUCCAAUUGUAGGUAAACACCCUUUUAGUGGAGUGAAAACCACCCUUUUAAUUUUUUACUAAAUACAAAUACUGCCAUGUGUAGGAAAAGAUAUUUGACUUUGUUUUACUUUGAUUAGAAAAACUUGUGGUAGUAAUAACAAAAUAGUGACAGGGGAUGCAAAUUUCAAAUCAACAACCAACGUACACUUAAUUACAGUAAUUUUUUAGUUGAUCAAACUAAUAUAUGCCAUAAAGUAGUAAGAUUUGAUCAUUUAUAAAUUGACAAUUUUAGCAGUUUAUAUACCAUUCACCUAUAAAAAUUAUGAUUAUUAUAAAAUGACAUUUUAUAGUAAUUUACAUACUAUUUGCCAAUUAAAAGAAAGUUUGAUAAAAAAUGUGCAUAUAAAUCCAUAUUGUAAAUGAUACAAAAUAUAUUUGAAACUCAAAACUUAAUAUAUGGGUAAAUUUAUUAUAAUUUUCAAAGAUUAUGCUACAUUAGUACAAAAUGUUAUUUUAACAACAAAAUUUUUUUUUACUAAAAGUCUGAAAUAUCCAUGACAUAUGUAUGAGGGAUGUUUUACCAUAUUUGUAUCUCACAUCUAAUCAUGAAAGUUAAUUUGAGAAAAAAUAUUUUUGACAAUAGAAUUAUUUUGAAUUUAGUCAACAAGUUGAGAUUUUUUAAACAAUAAAAGUGAAAUAUUUUGGGAACUUAGUUGUUUAUUUUCCCAUAAUUAAAAAUUGCUAUAUUUUAGCAAUUGUUACCAUUGACCUUUCAUUCUGUAGACUAAUUUUUAUCAAUGCAAAAUUAGUUUUAUUAACAAUAAUUGAAGUUCCAUUGAUCCGAGGAUUGGCAUUUUAUUGCUAUUAUUUUAUAUGUAAAUAUUUAACCUAAGUAAUAAAAUAAAUAAUAGCUACUUAAAAAAAGAAAUUGAAAUGGAAUUAAAUUUAUUUAUUAUUUUAUUGCUAACAACUUUGACCCCAUUUAAUGGUUAAAGAAAAAAUAAAAGAGACGUAGAGAUUGAGAUUGGUUCCUUAGUGUGAAAAAGGAAAGUUCUUCUAAACUAAUGUUGCGUGAAAUUCUGAAUGCAUAUAAAAUUAGAAAUGCGAUAACUUUGCAAUUCAUUCUCAUUCAUGAUGAAUAAAUUGCGAUUUUAUAUAGAAUCGCAAUUUUUUUCGUUCAGCAUGAAAACAUUUUUAUUUUGUCAUAUUGAUGGCUUUUGCUUUUAAGAUUAUCUACAUGUCGGUGGUUAGUAUUAUUGACAAGGUUAGAGGUCAUGGAAAAUGUUACUAAUUUUAGGAGACAUUAUGAAUUGUAAAAAUGGUUUAAUAAUUUUCUAUUAAGCAUAACUACUGCAUACAAAAGGAAAAGAUAUUUGAUUUUAUUUUGUUUUGAUUAGAAGAACUUGUACUAGUAAUAAAGGAAAUUUCAAUUCAACAAUCAACGUGCACAUGAUUACAAUAAUUUUUUAGUCAUUUAGACUAAUAUAUGUCAUAAAGUAGUCAGAUUUAGUCGUUUGUCAAUUCAUAAUUUUAAUAGUUUACAUAAAAUUCAUCUAUAAAAAAUUAUGAUUAAUAAUUUUAUAAUAAUUUAUAACAAUCAACGUGCACAUGACAUUUUAUAAUAAUUUAUAUACCAUAUGCCAAUAAAAAAAGAGUUUGAUAGACAAAUCCAUAAUGUAAAUGAUACAAAGUAUGUUUGAAAGUCACAGAACUUAACAUAUGGGUAAUUUUACUAUAAUUUUCAAAGAUUAUGCUAUGUCAAUACAACUUUAAUUUUUAUACUUGUGACCCAAAAAAUAAAUUUAUUAAGAUUUUACCAUUUUAUUAAAUUCAUAGGCAUUAAUAUAUGAAAAAUUGUGUACCAUUUUAUUAUAUUCAUAGGUGUCAAUAUAUGGAAAUUGUGAUGUAUAGAUAAGGGCAAUUCUAUAUAUAACUCGAAAGAUUUGUUGUUACUGUCAUCCAAACUUUCUAACCUUUAACAAAUUCAUAAAUAAAUCAAAUUUAUAAUAUGACAAAUUAUUCUUACAUAUGUUAUAAGGUCAUAUGCAAAAAAAAAAAAAGUUUUCAUAAUAAAAAAAUCUUAGCAUUAUUUCAAAUAAACUUCCUAAUACUUGUUUCAUAUAAGUUUCUUUAAGUAAAAUACUAAAUUUAUGCCACAAACUAGUAAGUUUUGAUGAUUAACCAAAUUUACUAUUCUAUGAAUAAUAUUUACUAUUAAUCUAUAAAAACUUACUAUUACUUGAACUAAACUUACUCUCCAAAAACUAAGUUUUAGAUAUAGAGUAGUAAUUUACUUCAAAAAAAAAAGUAAGUUCCAUAUUUAUUCAAAUUUACUUUUUGAGUCAUAAAAGUUACUAAUUUAUUGAGUUAACUUACUACUUUUAAUAUAAAACUUACUAACCAAAAUUUUAGGUACUAUUUUAUUUAGAUGACCAGUACAACAGGUAAUCAAAUGGUCGCUAAAAGUGUUUUUACCUGUUAUAUCAGGUAAAAACAGUUUCGUUACUAUAACGAUCGUUACUUCAGACUUUUCCAUAAAUAUAUAUAUAUACAUAUAUAUCUACCUUAUAUAUAAGAAGAAAGCCAAGUUACUGUAACAGCCCAUCUUUUUUAUACAUAUAUUGCAUAUAUUUUUUACAAAUGGAAUCUUGGUCAUUUUAGCUAAAUUUUUCCUUCCUUUUUUUGAUUCAAUUUGGCCAAAAGCAUUAAAAUGUUUUUUGUCUUUCACAAAAUCAACUCCAUCUCUUCUUCUUCUUCUUACAACACUACUGUCAUUCCUCACCUUUUUUGUUUUUUAAAACUAAUCUAACUAAGAUUGUUGCCAUGUUCUUUUUUUUUUCGUCGAGAUGAUUAGCUACUUAGCAAAGAGAAGUCUUUAUUAUUUUUUUGAUCCCAUUUUACAUUUUCUUUUCUUCUUUUUUUUUUCAUCUCUAAUCUUUCAUGUUUGCUCUAUUUUUCGAUCAUAAUGUUAUAGCCAACUGGUAUUUGUUUGUUAAAUUUAUAGGAUGAUGUUUUUAUUUGGUAUUUCUUCAUGGAUAAAAGGUGAAAUAUUAAAUUAUGUAAAAAGAUCUUAGAAUCCAUUUUAUACCAGCGGUCAUCUUCUAUGAAGAAUAAAACAAAAAUUCAUUCUUUUCUUUUCUUCUCCCAAAAUUUGAUUUCCCAUUUCACAUUUUUUUUUCCUUUUCUUUGUUUUUUGGUUACAUUUUGUAAUUAUCUACAAUUUUGUGUAUUUUUUUAGGAGAAAGAUAUAUCAUGUGAUGCUUCGACCAAGAUAAAUUUAGCAAGGCAUUCUUCUACCUCUGUUUUACUCUAUUUUUUUCUUUCCCUCACCCCCCUUUUGCAAUUACUUUAUGGUCUAUUCAAUUUAAUUGAAAGAUUCAAUAAGAUUUUGUAUAUAUUUAAACUAAUGUUAAUUUUUGUUUGUUUUUUAAUUAGUCAAGUGUUGUAGUAUCAAUUGGGUUGGCAUACAAGGAUUGUAGUUGGUGAUGGAAGUCACAAUUGAGACUUUCAGCCUAGAGUAUGACUUGAUAAAAAAUUGUUGGAAAAUUCAACUUUGAUUAGGAAGAUGUUUUGCAAUAAAAAAAAUGGUUUAGUUCUAAUUUGUAUAUGUAGAUCUAGAAACAUAGCAAUUUAUAUUUUUAUCUAACCUUACUAUUUAUAUUCUAGAGUUGUAGGAUAAUGUUGUCACCUUUAGGCGAGAUUUAAAUAGAUGAACUAGCUUUUCCUAUCAAAAGAAAGAAAAAUGUGAAAGUUUAUAGUAAGCUAUAUUGAUGUUAAAAAUUGUGCCAUAUCUUAGUGGUUUUUAAAACUUUUUCUCAUUAUUAAAGUACUAAAAGUAGUAUGACUACUUUUGGAUUAGUUACAACUAAAACUAUGCUACUAUUAAUACAACAAUGCACUUAUAGUGUAUUAAUUCUCUCUCCUUUUUGGGUAUCAUCAUAAUAGUGGUUCAAAAGCUUUAUUCAAAUCACAAUAAAUAGGGGAGUUGACUUCAUACAUGAAAUUUCUCUUCACAACAAAAUUUGAGGGAAAUUUUAAGGGCUACUCCGUAUUUUGUUAAUUGUAUUCCUACAAUAAAUAAAAACUAUAUGAUAAAAAUAAUAGUGAAAGUAUGAUUAACAAAAAUGAGAGUUCAAAUAAUAUUUGUCAAUUUUAAUUGUUUUGAUACUCAAUUUUCUCUUAUAUUUCUAUUCAUUUAUCAUGUGCCAAAAUAAUUUGAUAUUAUGUGUUCCACUAAAAUUUCUAAGGGCCCAAACAGUGCUUUGCACAGACCAAGUACCUCUAGAAUAUAUAUACGUAUGUGUGUGUGUGUGUGUGGGAACAAGUGUUUGAAUUUCUUUUGGAUAUAUGCUGAAAUUGGUAAUAGUCGGAGAUACAAUUUAAAUAAAAGUCUCGAAUGAAGAUAGUUGGGAUUAAAAAUAGAAGAAUGUUGAUCUAACUUUUCAUAAAAACUUAAUUUUUUCUCAUGCAAGUUCUAUGGCUCUGCUCAUGUUUGACUGGGUAGAGGGACACUCGACGUGUAAUCCGAAGCGAGCAAGAGAGUUUAGUAAUGAAAAUAAAAACUCGUAGGAUUACCCAAUAAAAUUUGAUAAAAAGCUCAGGUAAACUGGUUAGGAUUUGGUUAAAUGCACUUUCGCGAGUACCUGAUCCCCAUCCCUGCGUUUCUCUGUCUCCCUAGCCCGCGGGGAUGAGAACCACAAGCCAACAACAGAGUCCCAACAUUACAAAAGCAGAUGUCAACCAAGUGCGAUCAGUUUAGGUGCUACUUUGCUAAUUUCAGCCUUCAGGUUAGACAUGUUAAUAUACAACUCUUUUGAUCACUUAGCAUGGUAGUUUUUUUCUAGGGAAAUUUGCACUGGGAAAUUGGAAUUGCAUGUAUAGAUUGUAGUUUUUAUGGGUUUUUUUUAGAACUGUUAAUAUAAUGCAUGCUACUGCCCUUUUUGUUGACUUCGUUUCCAAGCCUAGAUAAAUGUCAUAACAAUCUCUUAAAUACGUAACUGCAAACAGAGAAAAGAAAAAAAAAAUUUUGUGCCAGGGAGUGAGUGAAAAAGCAUGGAUAAAGAAAUUUGAGAUUUUCGCUUCAUUUGGAGUUUUACAUGUUGGAGAACAUCUGAUCAAUUUUAGUGUAGUCGAAAGCAUCAAAAUUCUCUUUUUCUUGGAACAAUUCUGAAACUUCCCUCUCUUUGUAUUCAUUCAAUUAAACAUGGGACCAUUUCUCCACUUUCUGAGAAUAAGUAAUCUUCUUCAACAAUAUAUGCUUCAAGUUUUCAACACAACAAUUUUCUUUCUUCUUCUGUUCUUUCCUUAUUUAUUUAUUUAUUGGUGUAUUUCUGAUGGGUAGGUUGUCAUGUUAACCAACAUCAAUGUUUUAGCAUAUUUUGUUGGAUUGGAUUGAUAUUUGAUUAUUGGUCUUACGAACUUGGUUCUCUUCUAGGUACCAAGUAAAACAUCCAACAAUGUUUCACAAAGCAUUGGAACAAAACCGACAUCCACACAUAAUCUUUGUUGCAAAGUGAAUCUGAUGCACCAUUGUAAAUCUGCCCUGAAUUAGGUGAGUUUGGAUAGGUCUUCCAAAAACUCGUCUGUUUUUGGGAUGGCAUGGAGCAAAUUGUCCAUUAUGAUUUGUCAACUGUCUAUCCUCUUCCUCCCCUUAAGCUUUCUGUGGGGAGUAUCAUCGGGAGCGCAUGUGUCUUUGAUUCUGUCGUCGGCUAAUAAGCUAGAUCGAUCCCGGAUAACUAUGAAGAAAAAGUGAAGAUCUCAACAUGGCGAAGCCAAAGAAGAAUAUGUUUUCACCAAGAACUACUAGUUCUUCAGGAGAAUGGUGUGUCUCGGUUCAAGGGAAUGUUGGUAUAGGGGACCUCAAUUGACUCCUUUUACAUGGUUAAAAGCUACAGGUCAAUGCGAUGAAUAAAUGUCUCGAUUAAAGCAUGUCAAAACUCAAAACACCUUAAGGAAAUAGGAUGGUGUAAGGAAUCCCAAACACAUCUUUUAUAGCAUUGGAAUUAGGUAGGCGUGUCAAUAGGUAGGGUUUGGAUUGGAUCCCUUUGAUUCAAAUCCAAACUCAUUUAAUUUAGUUAGAUCUAAACUCAGAUCCAAACCCUUUUGGAUUGGAAAAAGUAAAUCCAUACCCAAACCCUUGUGAAUUGGGAUAUCCAAUGGGUAUCUAUGGGUAUUUUCUGAACAUAUUAAAGUAAAAAUGUAUUAAAAAUAUGUAGAGUUCAUAAAUAAUAUAAAUGCCAUCUAAUUUUUGUUUUCAACUUAUAAAUUUAACAUUUAACAAGUUGAAUGUAAUAUUGUGAACUCAAAGAAAGAAUUAUUAUUGACUAUUUCUAUAUGUUUUCAAAGAUUCAAUUUUAUCCACAUCUAAUGUUUCAUUCGUUCGCCUUUAUCAAUUAUUUUUUCUUAAAAAAAUUUGUACCAAUUACAAUGACAAUUAGAAUUAUUUUUUUUAAAAAAGUAAACAAUUAUAACAUAUAUAAAUAUUCAGCCUUAUUAAAAAAUAUAUAAUUUUGUACCUCUUUUUCUCAUUUAAAUCUCAAUAUUAGUAGAUGUCUCGCAAUCCAGCACUAAAAUAAUGAAUGAGAUAAAAGUCAUUUGACUAAAAAUCGAUGGCAAAUAAAUAGUAGAAUAAGAAAAUUUAUAAACACGUACUUAUUUCUUUUUAUUCAAUCCAAUCAUCAGCAGUUACUAAUGUUUCAAUCAUAUCUGGAAGCAAUUUAGCACGAGUUUCAUCAAUCAUCCAACCACCAACACUAAAUGCAAAUUCUGAUAUCAUGAAAUCUUACUGUAUUUGAUCCAAUAGCUAUAAAAUAUUAGAUUAUUUUAUAAAUUUACUAAUACAUAUCUAUAUAUAUAUAUUAUUUAAUUAAAUAUAUAUCGAUUUGGGUAGGAUCUGGUAUGGGUCUGGAUUUAGAUAUAAAUUUUAGAAAAUCAGAUCCUACCUAGACUCAUGACUCUCUCACAGGGUCAAGGUCUGAAUUUAGGUAGGGUCUGGAUUUGAGAAAUUAAAUUCAAACCAUACCCAAAUAUGUUGGAUCUAGAUUGGAUAUGGAUAAAACCUGAUUCAUUGACAUGCCUAGAAUUAGGAAACCACUUAUCCACUUCCAGAGUAUCAUAGCAAAUGAUUGCCUACGCAAUUAAGGGAGCCUAUUGCCCUUUCUAAGUUUCUUCUGUAAAAUGGAGACUACUCUUUCAUUAUUGGUUCUUAUGUAGGAAUGAAAGAAUAAAUUUUUUUUGGAAGUCAAGUAGUCAACCCUUGAGUUUCUAUAUAUAUUCCAAAUUCCAAUAACCCAUUUUUCAAGUAAAUUUGUGCGACAAAGUUUAAGGAUGAUUUCUAUUUUUUCUGUUAGGUCCGGUCUUAAGAAAUUAACUAACAAGAAUAAUCGGAUUUUUGCCAACUUAAUAAUGACAAUAAUAAAACAAAUAAAUUAAACAGCAAAACACAAAAUUUUAUGUGAUUCGAUUAUAUUGACCUACGUCUACAGACAAAAGAGUAGCACAUUUAUUAUAACAAAAAAAGAGUACAAAAGAGAGAGUAUAAAAUUUUAUGAAAUAUUUCAUAUGUUCAAAAGACACUUAAAAUUGAAAACACAAAAGAGCAUAAAUAACAAAAAUGUUUAAUGACUCAAAGACUCGUAAUUUACUCUUUUGGUUUGAUGCAUAGUUAUUAAAUCUGGUUUAGGGAGGAACCCGGUGAAAGAAGUGGGUCAACGGGUUAUUAGUUCAACCAGUGGGUGAGUGGCCCAAUCAUGAGUCACUAAAUAUACUUAAAUAUUAUGUCUCAUAAUUUUUGAUAUGGUUGAAACUAUAAUAAAUUAUGCUAUAGUAAAUAUUCAGUUAAUUCAAUUUAUUGUAAAAUCAUUAAUUCUUAUAGGAAUUAACAAAACCUAAAUUUAAUUAGUAAUCCACCAAAUUUCAAGUAUAAAAUUUUAUCUAAGUGUAAUUAUCUAGUUUAUUUAUGAAUUUUAAGUGCAAAAGGUUAUUAAGAAUAAUAUUUGUCUUUAAAAUCAAUUAUGUAAUAUGUUAUUUUUUAAAGGGUUAAAAAUAAAAAAAACCCCCUGUGGUAAGCCUAAUACACAGAAAAACCCCCUAUAGUUUCAAAAUAUACAAUACGACAUCUCAUGCUUUGAACUAAAUUGUAAAAGUGACGGAAUCCGUUAAACUUAACGGAAAUGACUUAUUGGAACCUAAAAAAAUUUUUUUAUACCUAUUUUUUAUCAAAUAUACCAAUUCUACCCCUUAACCCUCAAUUCUCUCUAUUUAGAAAAUAAAACAAAUAAUUUUUUUGAGCUGUCUUUUGCUUAAUUAUAUCAUGGUAUUUUGGUCAUUUUGACCAUUUCCGUUAAGUUUAACGGAUUUCAUCACCUUUACAAUUUAGUUCAAAGUAUGAGGAGUCGUGUUGUAUAUUUUGAAACCACGGGGGGCUUUUCUGUGUAUUAGGUUUACCACAGGGGGCUUUUUUAUUUUUUUACCCUUUUUUAAAUCCAUUUCAUAAUUUAUAGAAUUUAGGGGAUAAUAAAAUUUUAUUAAAAGAUUCCAAACAAAUUUUGUUUUGAAGAAAUAAAAUAAAAAUAAAAGUCUAAUAUAUAAUAUAGAAGGACUAAGUAAGCACCAAAUGGGCUAUUGGACUAGUGGUGAGUGUAUUUAGCCUUUGUACUUGAGGAUUGGUUGAACCGCCGGUCCGUUGAAAAGUCAACGGAUUUCUUGCACAAACGAUCAAAUUACUAACCCAGCCCGGUUUCAUGGUCGGUUCACCAGGUUGACUGGUUGAACCAUCAGAUCGGGUCGAGUUUAAUAACAAUGGUUUGAUGUCUAACCAAAACUCUUCUCAAAUUGGGGCGUGGGCCCCCCAAAACUCUUUUGAACUAGUGCAUACAGCACUUGGAUUGGUGCGGUUAACACACUUAAACUCACUUAAAUCUACUAUAUUUUUAACACUAGGAGGGGAAUACCUGCGCAUCAUGCGGGUGUUUGGUGCCUGUGGUUAAAGAAGAUUUUACGGUAGUUCAAUCGAAUAUCAAAAAACUCACGCACGUUGAAUAACAAUAUAAAGUAACAAAAUAUCUAAUGUAUACUGGAAGAUGGAGAAAGAAAUUAUGCAUGCUAUCUUGCUUGGUUCAUAUAUUUUGAAACAAAUACUUAUAUAUGAGCUUUUCAUUAACAAGACUAAAUGAACUUUAAACAGAUACCGAAAUGAUUCAGAGAAUGGCAAUAAACAAAGUGAUUAUUCACUUAAAGAUGCAUCUACACAACAUUCUAAACGACAAAGCCUAGCCUGGAAAGGUUUGGUUCCAUUAGAGGAUUCAACAAUGGAUCAUCAACCCCCGUAGAUUUUGGGUGAACAUAAUGCUAAAUGCCCUUAACAUAGGCCUUCGCCUGUAAUUUCGUUAACUCAAUACUGAUUAGAUCUUUCUCCCAAAAAUAAGGACAAUUGAGAAAAAUCAGAUCAAGAUCGAAGUCGUCUAGUAUCUCCCGCCAAACCCUUGAUGCCAUGUUAUGUGCUAAAUUGCCACUGAUAGGGUAUUAUUUGUUGACAAUUUUAUUAUUAAUUUUUCCUUUUAUUCCAACCAAAUAUUGUUUUAACUAUUAAUAUCUACUUAUAUUUGGUAUCUGGAAUUAAUUUCAGGGAGUGGAACAGAAAAGUACAAAAAAGAAGGAUCAUCCUGGAGAAAAUUGAGACUUCUAAAAAGACUUCAUAAUCCUGGCCCACAUUGUUGAGAAGAACUAGACUUCCAAUUCCCUUUUUAACUGACUAGGAGUCCUCCACACAAGCACUUCGGCAGAGGGCUCCAAUUCUUGGGCUUUUGAAAUUUCUGUGGGACCACAGAGACUAGGAGGCAUUAGUCAUAUCUUGGCUUAAAGAAGGAAAACGCACGGGGAGCUCUGAUGAAGAGUUUUUAGUUUUGAGCUUUAGUUUUGAGUUUUUCCUUUCUUUUUCCCUUUGUGAGGCGCACGCCAGAGCUUAGUCUUUUAGGAUAGUUUUUAGUUUUCUUUCUUUCUUUUUUCCUUUUGUCAGACGCACGCCUACCGUUCGACAAUAUUCCCCAACGGAAAAAACAUCUUUUAUUUCUCGCGUCCUAGUGAAAAACUUGAUGCCCUUGUAAUCAAUUAAUUUGUGUAGAGAUUUAUUUAUGCGGCGUGGCUAAGUCUUCCAUCUAGUCAAGGAUCAACUCGACAGCGCAGUCCCGAAAAUCUGUGAGAUCUAAUUAGUUUUCACGCGUUCUCAAUUUAUUAAUAUUUGCACGUUGUUUGCUUGAAUUUUCAUGGGAUUAUUUUAUUAAUUGGAUGUCAAGUGUCCGAUGUUCAAUGUAAUUUAUUAAUCUCCUGCCAAGUUAGUCAAUUAAAUCCGUAAUUGUUUGAUUGAUUAAUAUUAGUGGCAACUGGUGUGUUUAUAUAUUAGGGGAACGUGCAAUCUAAUUUAAAUAACCCUCGUAGCGAGUUAUUGAUUGGGGUUAAGUUUUUCUAGUUAUUAAUGCAAUUGAAAAAUUAAUUCCUACCGUCGUACCUAGGAGUAUUUUCUGGUUAGGGGUAAUCAAUGGUCGUACCUUGGUUAUCAAUAAAUUAAGAAAAAAUUGGUCGUUAGACUUCGUCGGCGACUAUAACUAGUCUAUUAAUAAAUUAAGUGAACCUCUCUUGCAUCAAUGAUUAGGUAAGUGGACUGUGUCUAAAUAGUUGCAUCCUUGGUUAGAAUUUAUUUAUUCUUGAUUUAAUUCCUGCUAUAUCCGUGCCAGUUAAUUAUUUAUUUUUUAGUUGAAUUGUUUAAUUGUUUUUAGUUUCAUUCUGAUAAAGCCCCCUUUACCAAUUGGAAUUUCAAAGAGACAAAUAUCCCCAGUCCCUGAGGAGACGACCCUACUUGCCACUGUUUACUGUUUAGUAAUUUUUGUCGACUAAUUAAUUCUGAUAUAUCGGAUUAAGCAAAUUUUUCGGGAAUAGGGUGAAUCAAGUAAUUCAUUGCACACCUAGAGUCCCUACUCCAGUACCUAAGAUUAAUUAUUGACUACUUUUAGUGGUAUUUAGGUUAUUAUUAUUAUUAUUGCACAAGCUCGACGCCUGUCAGCCACCAACACUAUCCCCACCAAAAUACACCCUAUCAAAGCCAGCAUAAUUCCUAAGCCAUACCUCAGGAUUCUCGCCAUUUGAAUGAGAGGCAACCCAUUUGACUGCAAUCUGAGAAUCUUCAUAAGCAAUAGGCAAAGGAUGCUCAGGGAUGAGCCGAUAGUUAAUUGAAAUUGCUAUACCACCAGCUUCUACAACUACUAUAUUAAGGUGCGCGUGAUAUGUAAGAGAGAAGGCAUAUUUGAUCAAACAGCCUCCACCAUGUAAGUAGACCAAAAGAGGAAGUUUUGUAUCUCCAAACCUAUUCCAACAAAAUCACACCAUUUAAAUUGUAUAGAACAACCAACUUUAUGGGGAAACAAUAAUAUCAACAUUAAAUUGCACUAACAGAGUAUCCAAUUUUGGAAUGAAAACAUUUAGCUAACAAUAGAAAUUAUGAUUAUACAAAGCAAAUCAUACCAUUAAAAAAAAGAAUGACACCUCACCUCAAGUUGAACCAUCAAGAAUAGCUUCACCAGAGAACCAUAUUGAAAUCCAGAGUACAAUGACAAUACAAAUAAGUAUUUACCGGAAGACGAAAGAAACAUAACGGAAGAAUGCGAAGAGGCAAACAUUUGAAGAAUUGAAGUUGAAACUAAUGCUCAAUAAUAAAUUCCUUAAUAAACCACAUUGCCCUUGCUUUAAUUGAGAUGAAAAUGACGUUUGAAGUUCUUCAAGUUAUAAUAGCAAAGUAAUAGUAAUAAUUGAUACAAAUCAAAAUAAAUGUCUCUGCAAGGACAUUUAAGUAAUUACACAAAUAAAGAAGCUAUUAUGGGUUGUACCCAUUGUAGAAAAGAUGACCAAAUAAUCUCACAUUUCCAAACUACCGAAACCUUUGAAUAAAUUAUCACUGCAUCUUUUAGAAUUCAAGGACAUUUCAGUAAACACAAUAAAACACAUGCUAUCUAAAGUAAUACCUAAUACUAUAACUAUACUCAAAACAAUCUCACAAUCCCAAAAUACCCCUACUCUUGCGGUUGAAAUUCAAAACUAUUUUUUGACCCAAACUCAUUCUUAUAUAGUAUAAGGAAGCACACAUAGAGAUUUCUAUGUUAAACUCCCAAUGUGAGAUACAGAGACACACUUAACAAAUUUUCAUCUUGGCGUGUAUCCAACAUCGGUAAAUAGCAGAUAAAUAGCAAACAAGCUCAACCUUCUACAUAAAAAUUUCAACGAAUCUCAACGAACAACCAAAAUCCCAACAAACCCCAACGAACCAUCAACAAAUCAGGAUGCAAAAGAUUCAAUGGAUCCCAACGAGUCAAAACUCACAAAAAGGUUUAGCAGAUCCCAACAAACUAAAAAUCACGAACAUAGUAAUAUUACUCCACCUUCUUCACAAAACCUUUAACGAAUUUCAACGGGUCAAAUAACUUUUCUUCAAAACCCAAUUGAACUCCAAUGAACAAAACCCUCAACGAGUUUCAAUGGAUCAAAUAACUCUUUUUCAAAAUCCAAUUGAACUCCAAUGAAAAUUUUUAUCCGAAACCCCAAUAAAAAUUUACGUGGUUCAAUUAAAUUGAUCUAUAUCCAUGGGUGAAAGAGGCGAGAGUAUAAAAUCCUAAGGUGAAGAGGUGAGAGUAUAAAAUCCUGAGAAAUAUUUCCUAAGCUCAAAAGACAGUUAAAACCGAAAAUACAAAAAAACCUAAAUAAUAUAAAUGUUUAAUGGUUCAGAAGUCCAUAACUUGCUCUUUUAGUUUGAUGUCUAACCAAAACUCCUCUCAAAUUAUAGCGUAAGCCCCUCAAAACUCUUUUGAACUGGUGCAUACGACACUUGGAUUGAUGUAUUUAGCACAUUUAAAUUCAUUUAAAUCCACUAUAUUUAUAACAAUUAUAAGGAGAGAUUUCUUUGUUAAACUCCCAAUAUGGAAUACAAAGACACGCUUAAUAUUUUCUAUAGUCCAGCUAAUGAUAAAAUGCAACGAAGUAGCGAAGCUAAUAUGACAUUAUUAUUUCAAUCCUUUCACUAUUAUUUUUAUACUGAUAUUUCAAUCUAACAUGUGGGAGUUGACUAUAUAGAUCUCGAGAAUUCUCAUGUCUCUAGAAUUAAUAAAGUUAAUGGAUCCUUUGCUAUUUAGGUGCGGUAUGAGUAACAGUUUCAGCUCUGCCCUGGGGCGUUAGAUGCAGCGCAUUAUUACUGUACCAUGGAAUGCAUAGCACUUGUAGUAAAACAUAAUACUAACUACAAGGUAGAAUCUGUGUCAUUCUCCUUCGAAAAAAAAAAAAGAAUCUGUGUCAUUCGUGGUACUGAUUUGUAAAAUGUCAAUUACUGAGCAUCAGAAACGUGAAAUUUCAGCCAUCAAAUAAAAUUGUUCCUGACAAAUAAAAUUGUUCCUGACAAUUUUCUUUAUAGGUAUAUGUUAGGGAAAUAAUGUUAGUAAUUAUAGUUAAAAUAGUUGAGAGUUAGUUAGAUAUGACAAUGAAGCAAAGGAUAAUCUGGAACGAACAGGAGUUUGGUUCCAAACUUUAAUUCGUUUUCUGGAUUCUUAUCCAAACCUUGUGCUCUGUGCAUAUUCGAAAAGACUGCAGAAGGUUAUACAUAUAUAUAUAUAUAUAUAUAUAUAUAAGCCAUUCUAUUUUUGUAACAGAUACUAAAUACAAGCAAAUAAUUAAAACGAAAAUUGAACAGAUGGCUCAAGCUCUAGUUAAAAGAGAAGAUUAGCUUAUCCGGAUGAGUGAGGGAUUUAUGAUUAUUUUUGUAAAUAAUGUCAGUCAAACGGAAACAUCAAUUUUACAUUACAAACAUAGUUGAAGGACUACAUGAGCAAUUUCGUUUUUUGUUGUUCUUUGCCUACAAAUUAAUAGUUUUUUAGCUAUAUUUCAUUGCAUCUUUGAGCUUAGUAAUCCUCAUUUCUUCCUUUCUUGUUAAAAAGAAAAACAAUUAUCACAAUUUUACCUUUUUUCCCUACACUUUUUAACGACUACAACUAUAAGGAUUACUUUCGAUGAAUUUAAUGCAACCAAUCUGAAGUGUAUAACUGAGGAUUCCAGUAAGUUGUUUCUACUGUUUUUUUUUCUUCUCUUAAUAAGAUUGUAAUUAAUCCAUGAUUUUAGAACUAUUACAAACAAAUUACAACUCAACCCGCAAAAUAGUUAAAUUUAAAUCCAAGAUCUCUAAUUUCUUAUAGCUCAACUGGUGAAUGUUGCACUCAAAAUUGACAGCACAGCCAUGAAUAUUACGAUAUAUGCUUGAAGAAAAAGUAAACUGCCUCUCAAGUCCAAGGUCGAUCAAAACUAACAAAAGAAAAAAGUGUGAGACGGAAGUCAACGGACGUAACACAAAAUUCCACAAAGUCACCAGAGCCCAAGUCGUCUCUCAGUCUCCCUAGCACAUAUUAAAUUACAAAUAUUUGCACACUAACUACUGGGCAGAGAGGUGAAGCAAGUAUGAAUUGAUCAGUUGAGGUGCUACUUUGCUCAAUUCAGGUUAGACAUGUUUGUUUCUUCCCCCUCUGCCUCGAAUUAUGCAUGCAUUCCGAGACAAUGCAGUUCUAUUUGUUUGGUUUGUAUGAAUUUGAAAUUGCAUGCAUUGAUUGUGUUUUUGAUGGGUUCUUUAGAACUGCUAGUUGUAUAAUGCCUCGUUGACUUCGUUUGCUGGCCUCAAAAGUUAAGCCGAAAGGAGAGAUGUUUAUAACGUUUUGUUAAAUAACUACUGCAAACAGAAGAAAGCAUAUCUACCAGGGAGGAAUAAAGCAUGAAUAAAAGAAAUCUGAGAUUUUCGCUUCAUUUGGAGUGUGGGUAAAACCCAUCUGAACAAUUUUACUGUAGUUGAAAGCUUCUGAAUUCUUAUUCCGUUGGACGGAUUUUGAAACGUCCCUGUUAUGUUUCUAUUUAGUUAGACAUAGGACAACUUCACUUACUGAGGAUAAUUAUCUUGUUCAACAAUAUAUGCUCCAUUACAGCAUUUUUUUUUUUUGAAUAUUUUCUGAUACAUUGGCUGUCAUGUUAACCAAAUCAAUUUAGGAGAAUGAAUUUGGUUUUUGCACAUUUUGUUGGAUUGGACGGCUGUUAACUUUGGCUGCACCUUUGAACAUGUGUCUUAUGAACUUGGUUCUCUUAUAGGCAGUAUGUAAUCUAGGUUAUAAGAUCACAAAUCAAUUAAUGAAUCCGUGGAAUGAGACGUUUCAGAUGUUUAUGGUUUUUAACUGCAACGGCAGUUUAACUUCUUCACCACAGUCUUCGUUACAAAUUGAAUCUGAUGCCUGACUCUAAAUCUGCCCUGAACUAGGUGAAUUUGGAUAGGCUUUUCACUAAGUUUUUGCGAUGGCAUGGGGCAACUUGUUCUAAUAUGAUACUUGUCUAAUGUCCAUCCUAUGUUUCCUCUUGAGCUUUCUGUGAGGAGCAUCAUCAGGGCAUUUGUCUCGGAUUCUGCCAUCAGCUAAUAAGUUACAUCAAUAUCCUAGAUAAGUCUGAAGAAAAGGUAAGGUUUCAACAUGUCAAAGCCAAAGAAGAAAUGGAAUUCACCAAGAGUUCAAAUUUCUUCAAGAACAUGGUAUGUGUAUGUUUGACAAAGAUGUUGAAUGAUGUAGACUGUGUUUACCUUCUCAUGAUAUGGAAGACCAUGGUUAACUUGCUUCUAAACUGUUCAAACCUGCUGGUGUAUAAACUGAAUAAAGAUCUCAAUUAAGGUAUGUCAAAAUGUCUAGAAGAGAAAGAUGAUGUUUGAAAACCUUAAUAGCUAGAAACUCUUGUAUUGGAUAGGAAUUAUUAAUCCACAACUACAGCUUCUGAUAUUCUAAAAUUUACCAUUUUGAGUUACAGUAAGGUUCGUGAUUAUUCUUUUCCACUUUCGGAGUAUCCUCGUAGCUGAUCUUCCUGUUCUGCCCACUUAUUUGGACGCACAUAUUGGCCUGUCUAUCUUCUUUCUGUAAAAUGGAGUUUACUCUGAUCUUCCUGUUUUGCCUACUUAUUUGGACACACAUAUUGCC